This 68983-nucleotide long non-coding RNA is filed under the name Theobroma cacao (cacao). RNAcentral describes it as "long non-coding RNA (TCAC_LNC004316)". The record is from RNAcentral. Lineage: Eukaryota; Viridiplantae; Streptophyta; Magnoliopsida; Malvales; Malvaceae.
CUAAUGGAAAUUACUGGAAGAAGAAAAAAAUUUGAAUGCCUCUGCUGAACAAUCAAGUCAAAUUUAUUUUCCAUCAUGGAUUUAUGAUCGAUUAGAUGAAGGAGAUAUCAUGGAGCUUGGAGAUUUGACAGAAAAUGAAAACAAAAUUAUGAGGAAAAUGGUAAUAGUAGCCUUAUGGUGCAUACAGAUGAAGCCCACUGAUCGUCCUUCCAUGAGCAAAGUCUUGAAUAUGCUUGAAAGUGAAGUUGAGCUCCUUGAAAUGCCUCCCAAGCCUUCUUUCUCUGGAAAUGUCAACUAAAUAUAGUAAGAAUUCUCCCCGCACACGUGGCAAUCGGCCUUCCUCAGUUAUCUCGUGAUAUUUGUCAUUGGGACACCACUCAACAUUGUGAUCUUGCUAAAUCUGACAACUUCUUCUGUAUUUAGUUUUUUGAAUGGUACGUAGUUUUUGUUUCCACCUAGAUCUAGUAGGCAGUGUUUGUAUUUUCUCUACUACCUUGGUUUGUUUUGUUUCUGCUACUUCUCUAUUGCCCUGUAUGUGACCUCUGAUGGAAUAAAUCAUUUCCUCACUUGUAAAAAAAUUGCAAGAAAAUGUAAUUUUAUUUUUCCCUUAUUUUAUACUGUCAUCCCAAACUCGCAGCACAACAGACGCCACAUACCUGUAAGAUGUAAUCUUACAAACAUGCAAGGGUCCAAUACAUAUACCUUAAAACACUAACUGAAAGACACUAAAAUACCUGAAGAACAAAGUGAUUCAUAAUCGGUAGAAAUUCAAAAAUCAUAAUUCGACAAUAUUCAGAAUUAAGUCUCUAAAACUAUAAAGUUAACAUGUCAAGAUAAAACUCUGAAUACUAAUUUAAGAUAGUUUGAUGUUCAUAAUAUUUAAAUAAAUCCUAGACAACCUAAAUGCUAUUAGAUUAAAACAUCACUCCUUGAAAUUCUCACGUAGUUGACCAAAUCACAACCUAAAAAAAAAAUUGAAAGAAUGAGUGAGUCCAACUACUCGGUAAGUAACAAAUAUCUCACUUCGUACUACAAAAGCCCUCAAAUAUAUGACCAAAAAUGUUAUCGGAAUAUGGAGUUCCAAUGACCCAAAUUUGGAUUGUCAAAACAGUUGAAAACCAAGUUUCUAAUUAAUUUUAAAAAUUCAUAUUUUCUAAACCACAAAACUAAACUAGAUGCUACAAAAACCAUUGGAAAGAUCUUUUCAAGACCUUUCCAUUGGUAACCAUCAUGCCACCGAAAGGUCACCAGAAUAGUGCCGAAUUUGAAUAAAAGUUAAGAAAACAUAAAUAAUUUAGGGCUUUUGUGCCCAACUAUGGAAAUACAACCCUAAACAUACCUUAAUCAGAAAUCCCUUGAAUACUUUUCUCUUUUUUCUAUCUUUCUUCUUCUAUGGUGUUAAGCUUUUCUGACUACCUAUCGUUUGAGUCUGAUGAAAUAAACUGACAUGAGUUUUCUACCUUUUCUUUUAAACUUGUAAACUAACCUAACCUCCACUAUUUUUUUUUUAAACGUGGUUUAGUGAGUUGUGAUCAGGUAAAACAAAUUGACCUUAACCGCACUAACUUAAACAUGAUAAACAAAACUGACAUUAAUUAAACUUCUUUAUUUACUUAAAGACCCCUUUUUCUAUUUUUUAAUUAUUAAGACACUCAAGGUUGUAACUGUAAUUAAAUAAAAUACUAAAACAACAUUUAUUUAUUUAUUUUAUAAAACUAUAGCCUAAUAAAUCUAAAUGUUUUUAUAAUAUAUACUUUGUGAGGGGUAUUACAUCCUUCCCUCCUUAAAAAGGAGUUUAGUUCCUUAAACUCUUACCUUGGUCCUCAAAAAGGCAGGGAUACUUCUUUUUUAUAUUUUUUCUAAAUCCCAAGUCGCUCCUCAUUCUGUAUGAUUACUUCAUUAGAUCUUAACAUAAGGAAUAGUUCGCCUUCUUAGAACUUGCUUCUUUCUAUCCACAACACACAUAGGAUGCUCAUCAUAAGACAAAUCUUCUCUAAGUAUCAAAGGAGCUAACCACACCACAUGACUAGGAUCUGGAACAUAUUUUCUCAACAAAGAAACAUGAAACAUGUUAUGCGCUCUCGAUAAAGCAGGUGGAAGUGCCAACCUAUAAGCCACAUCACCAACCUUAUCCAAAAUCUCAAACGAACCCAUAUAACAAGAACUAAGUUUUCCUCGAAUCCUAAAUUGCAUUACUCCUCUAGUAGGUGAAACUAGCAAAAAGACAUGAUCUCCAACCUCAAAUUCUAUCUUCCUUGUUUUAUUGUUUGCAUAACUCUUCUAUCUACUUUGAGCCGUACGAAGAUGUUCUCUAACUAACUGAACCUUCUCAACUGCUUGUUGAAUAAGAUCUAGACCCAAUAAUUGUCUUUCACCCACAUCAUCCCAACAAAGAGGUGACCUGCACUUCUUACCAUACAAAGCUUUGAAUGAAGCCAUUUGAAUACUAGACUGAUAGCUAUUAUUAUAAGCAAAUUCCGUCCAUGACAAGUGUCGAUCCCAAAAACCUCCAAAAUCCAUGACACAAGCUCUCAACAUGUCCUUAAGAAUUUGAUUAAUUGUCUCGGACUGACCAUCUGUUUGAACAUGAAAAGUAGUACUAAAAUUAAGUCUAGUACCCAAAGAUUUAUGUAGACUCUCUCAAAAUUUCACCACAAAUCGAGAAUCUUGAUCAUAUACAAUGGACACUAGCACCCCAUGCAGUCUCACAAUCUGCUCCACAUAUAACUCCACUAACUUUUCCAAUGACAUUUCCGUACGAAUAGCCAAGAAGUGAGCAGACUUUGUUAAUCUAUCAACAAUCACCUAGAUGCCAUCAUUACCUUUUAGUGUUCUCGGCAACCAGAUAUAAAGUCCAUAGUAAUUCGUUCCCAUUUCCAUUCUAGAAUAAGAAAUGGUUGCAAUAACUCUACUGGCCUCUGAUGUUCAACCUUAAUUUGUUGACAUGUUAAACAUUUGGCUAAAAACUGUGCAAUCUCUCUCUUCAUAUUGUUCCACCAAAAAGUGUUCUUCAAAUCUCGAUACAUCUUGGUACCACCAAGAUGGAUUGUAUAAUUACUAUAAUGAGCUUUCAACAAAAUUUCUCUCUUCAAUUUUGCAUCAUUGGGAACACAAAUUCUAUCACCAAACCUCAAAGAGUCAUCAUCAUGAAUCCUAAAGUCUGGUUUCAAACCAGAAUUAACCCUAAGUUUAAUGUGCUGAAGUCGAAGAUCAUCUACUUGGGCUGUCUUAAUCCGGUGAAUUAAAGUUGGUUGUACUCAUAUGUUAGCCAAUAAUGCUCCAAAACCCUGUAUACAUACACCAAUAUCCAUCCUCCGUAAGUCCUCCAAUAUCUGUUUUUGGGAAGUAAUCAUUGUGGCCAUGUUCCCAAACGUCUUUCUACUUAGAGCAUCAGCAACUCUAUUUGCCUUACUUGGGUGAUAAUUGAUGGUCAAGUCAUAAUCCUUCAACAAUUCUAACCAUCUUCUUUGUCACAUAUUCAACUCCUUCUGCGUGAUAAGAUACUUUAAACUUUUAUUAUCUGUAAAGACCUCACAAGACUCACCAUUCAAAUAAUGUCUCCAAAUCUUUAAUGCGAAACCACUACUGCCAACUUUAAAUCAUGAGUAAGAUAAUUCUCAUCAUAAGGUUUCAAUUGCUUAGAAGCAUAAGCGAUCACCUUAUCAUCCUGCAUAAGAACACACCCAAGUCCCUUUUUGGAAUCAUCACUAUAAACAACAAAUCCCUUACCACUAAUAGGCCUGGUAUGCAUAGGAGCGAAUACUAAUCUUUUCUUUAUCUCCUCAAAGCUCUUUUCAUAAUCAUUUGUCCACUCAAAACAAAUCCCUUUCCAUAUCAAUUUGGUUAAAAGUAAGGCAAUACAAGAAAAAUCCUCUACAAAUUACCUACAGCAUCCUACUAAACCCAGAAAACUGUUAAUCUCAAAAACAUUAUGUGGUCUCUUUCAAUUCACCACUAUUUCAACUUUCUUUGAAUCCACUGAAAUCCCGUCUUUCAACACCACAUGCCCAAGGAAAGCAACACUAAAAAGUCAAAAUUCACAUUUCUUCAAUUUAGCAAAUAACUAUUUCUGCCUCAAAGUCUUCAAAACAACCCUUAGAUGCUCUUUAUGAUCUGCUGAGCUAGGGGAAUACACUAGAAUAUCAUCAAUAAAAAUAACCACAAAUUUAUCCAAAUAAGGUUUAAAAACCCUAUUCAUCAAGUCCAAAAAAGUAACUAGAGCAUUUGUCAACCCAAAAGGCAUAAUAAGGAACUCAUAAUGCCCAUAUCAGGUACGAAAAGUAGUUUUGGGAACAUCCUCAAUUCUCACCUUCAACUGGUGAUAACCAGAUAAAAGAUUAAUUUUGGAAAACACUUAAGUGCCCUUUAGUUGAUCAAAUAAAUCAUAUAUCCCAGGCAAAAGAUACCUAUUAUUCACGGUUGCCUUAUUUAACUCCCGAUAAUCAAAACACAACCUCAUACUCCCAUUUUUUUUCUUCACAAAUAACACUGGCGCUCCCCAAGGAGAUAUACUACAUCUAAUAAAGCCCUUAUCAAGAAGUUCUUGCAACUGCUCUUUCAACUCUUUUAAUUCUAUAAGAGCCAUUUUAUAAGGAGCUUUAGAAAUAAGGUCAGUUUUUGGAACCAAAUCAAUAGAGAAAUCAAUUUCUCUAUUAGGAGGUAAACUAAGUAGAUCUUUAGGAAAAAAUUAGGAAAUUCCCCCAUAAUAAGAACAUCUUCAAUCAUUAACUCCUUCAUUCUAGUGUCUAUAACAGUUGCCAAAAAUCUUUUGUAACCACUAGUAAGCAAUCACCUAGCUUUCAAAGCAAAGAUGACUCGCAAAGGAGUGUAAGAACCACUACCACGAAAAGAAAAAGGUGUUUCCCCGGGAAUCUGAAAGUCUACCCUUUUCCCUCGAUAAUCAACUUUAGCAAAAUUUGCAACUAACCAAUCCAUCCCCAGAAUUAUAUCAAAAUCUUACAUAUCUAAAACAUGAAGAUCUGUAAGCAAUUCUCUAUCUUCAAUCCUUACCACACACAUCUUAUAAAUCUGAUCAGAGAUAAUAUCACCUCUAACUAGAGUGUCUACGCAUAGUUCAUAAUCUAGAAGCAUACAAGGCAAAGCAAACUUUCGAAAAAAUGUAGCAAAUACAAAAGAACGAGAUGCAUUGGUAUCAAACAAUACAUGAGUAAAAGCUGAGGCAACUAGCAGUGUACUUGAGACAACGGUGUUGGAUGCCUCUACAUCCGAUUGAGUGAUAGCAUAAGCACGCCCCUGGGUGCAAGGUCUUCCCACUUUUUGAUGUUCAAAAGAAGGUGUUUGCGUAGUCUAAACAACAUGAGUGGGUUGAGUCCUUUGCGUUGCAGUUUCAAAAGUUCGAGAGUUUUGCGACCUCUGCACAGAUUGAGAUUCUUGAAGGACUAAAGGACAAUUAGCAAUACGAUGGCCCUAUUGUCUACAUUCAGCAGCUCGAUGUCCUCCACCACACACUGAACACCUAGGCUUUUGUGCCCAAACUAUGAAAAUACAACCCUAAACAUAACUUAAUCAGCAAUCCCUUGAAUAUUUUUCCCUUUUUUCUGUCUUUCUUCUUCCUUGGUGUUAAGCUCUUCUGACUGCCUAUCGUUUGAGUAUGAUGAAAUAAACUUGUAAACUAACCUAACUUUCACUAUUUUUUUUUAAACAUGAUUUAGUGAGUUGUUGUCAGGUAAGAUAUACUAACCUUAACCCCACUAACUUAAAUGUGAUAAAUAAAACUGACAUUAAUUAAACUUUUUUAUUUACUUAAAGACCCCUUCUUCUCUUUUUUAAUUAUUAAGGCACCAAAAGUUAAAACUGCAAUUAAAUAAAAUACUAAAAGAACAUCUACUUAUUCAAAAAUGAAUAGUAAAUUUGAUCCAUCAUGUUAAGUAGAUUGGUGGUAAAUUUGAACCUUUUCUCAAACUAUUCUAUGGAGUUUGUUUGUGAAAAUAUGGCAGCACAUGCCCAAAUUAAAUUAGUAAACAACAUACACAUAUUCUAUAAUCAUGUUUUUCAUCUUUGGGUUGGCAAAGAAUGUUUGAGAUUGCAUUGGGAGUGGUUCGAGGUAUUGAAUAUUUACACAGAGGUUGUGAAAUGCAAAUUUUACAUUUUGAUAUCAAGCCACAUAACAUUCUUCUAGAUGAGAACUUCAUCCCGAAAGUUUCAGAUUUUGGCCUUGCAAAGUUGUAUUCAAUGGAUGACAGUAUUGUCUCUCUUACAGCUGCAAGAGGUACAUUAGGAUAUAUGGCUCCUGAAUUGUUCUAUAAAAAUAUUGGAAGCAUUUCAUAUAAUGUUUAUAGUUUUGGAAUGAUGUUAAUGGAAAUUGUCGGAAGGAGAAAAAAUGUGAAUGUCUCUGCUGAACAUUCAUGUCAAAUUUAUUUUCCAUUUUGAAUUUAUGAUCGACUUGAGGAAGGAGAUAUCAUAGAACUUGGAGAUGUAACGGAAAAUGAAAACAAAAUUAUGAGGAAAAUGGUAAUAGUAGCCUUUUGGUGCAUACAGAUGAAGCCCACAGAUCGUCCUUCAAUAAGCAAAGUCUUGGAGAUGCUUGAAAGUGAAGUUGAGCUCCUUGAAAUGCCUCCCAAGCCUGCUUUCUCUGAAAGGUCAACCAAACCAUUAGUUGUAUUAUAAGUAAUAUUUAAUGUUGUACGUUAAGCAAUGUUUCACUACUUUAUCAUACUACUUUUAUAAUUUUUAUAGUAGAAACCUUAAGCUUGAGGCAUAAUCUUCUCUCUUCCAAAAAAAACCAAAAAAAAAAAACAAUAUAGAAUGGUGAGGAAGAAAGUAUAGCAAGGAAAAGAAGGAUACUGAGUUGGAGUUUUGAGCGUGCGAAGGUGUUAUUUUAGAAGAGUUGUAAUGGUAUCUCGUAAGUAUUUUGUCUAUAUAAAAAGUCUUUUGCUCAUAUAAAGAAUAAAGACUUUAAAUAGCAUUAUCGAUAUAUUAUUGCAAAUAAUUAACUUACGUUUUAAAAAAAUUAAAAAUAUUCCUCAACCAUGCUUGGAAUUAUAAUUUUUAUUUAAAAAAAUAAAUUAUUUGAGUUUUAUUUUAAAAAAAUAAAUUAUUUGAGUUUUCUCUCUUAAUUAAAAAGUCAAAUUUUAUCCAAUUCAAAAAUUUAUUUAAAAUGAUUUGAAAUCAAAUUCAACUUAAUUCAAAUUAAAUGACAAAAAUUAAAAAUUUCAAUAUGAAAAUACGUGAAUUUAAAAUGAUAUUAAUUUAAUCCGACACAAUUCAAUGUUAACAUGACUCGAAUCUAAAACGAACCGAGCUCAUAAUGAUCAAAAAUCCAAGAUUUAUUGGAUCCAAAACUUACAAAAACUUAAAUUUAUAACUCCCAAAAAUCCAAAUUAUAAUUAAAUAAUUUUAUUUAAUAAUUAAAUAAGUAAAUGAUUAAUUUUUAAGUGAAAAUUUUAAGACACACAAGCACCUUUUUCUCGUCAAUGCUUCUUCGUUACUCAGAAACAGCUCAUAAGAAUGGCAUGGUCAACUACUCUGCUUCACCUUCACUUCAAAUCCCCUCCGGUUUCUUCUCACCAAUUCCCACAUUCCCCCCCAAAAAUCCCCGAUCUUCCUAAACCCUAACCCUAUAAUUCCCAAACCCAAACCCCCCAAAAUGCAAUUCCUUCACAGGCCCAACGCGUUUCCAGGCCACGGCGCAGUAUCAAGAGCCAUGGACAUCAUCCAAUCCUCACCGCCCACGUGGGAAUCGGCCUUCCUUACCAACAUCCUGAUCUUCGUCGUCGGGACUGCACUUUUAGUAGCGGGGCUUUCUCUCUCCGAAAUUUUCGCUUCCUUCUUGCUUGGCACUCUCACUUGGCGAGCUUUCGGGUCUUCUGGAUUCCUCCUCAUUGCUUCUUACUUCGUUAUAGUGAGUCACUAAAAAGUCUAUGAAUUUUAUUUGAAUUAUGGGAUUUACGUUAAAAUUGGAAAUGGGUUCUGAUUUUCGCUCCCAUUUGGUAUAAAGUUUAUGCUCUGGAUGACAAGUUUCAUUGUUUGGUAUUUUGGCAAAGGAAAAAAAAUUUAGUUUAUGUCAAAAAGAUUUAACGUGAAGUAUUUAGUUAUUUAAGUGUGAUUUGUUUUUAUUUCAAGAAUUGGAUUACACUAGGUGAAAACAGGUCAAAACUAUAACCAAAACAUUUUUCCAAAAUUCUUUUUUAUUUUCAUUUGUUUUCUUCUUGGUGGGGGCAGGUGAAGGGAGAUUUUAUUUGCUUUUGACAUGUUUCUUAAGUAUAAAGUUGAAGUAGAAGAUAAACUGAAUAAAAAAAUAAAAAAAGUUAAAUUAGAUAGAGAGGGUGAAUAUUUACCUAUUAAUGAUAUUUGUGAAAAGAAAGAAAUAAUUUAUAAAAUUACUCUCUCAUAUUCUACUGAAUCAAAUAGUGUAGUUGAAAGGAAAACUAAAACAUUAAAAGAAAUGAUGAAUUAUAUGCUUAUUAGUUCUAAUGCACAUGAAAAUUUGUAGGGUGAAGUUAUAUUAUUUGCAUGUCAUAUUCAAAAUAGAAUUCACUGCAAGAAAACUGAUAAGACACCUUAUGAAUUGUGAAAAGUCUAUUCUUCUAACUUAAAAUAUUUAAAAGUAUGAGAGUGUUUAGCUAAUGUUAUGCUUCUUGAUUUUAAGAAAAGAAAAAUUGACUCUAAGAUGUCCGGUUGCAUGUUUAUUGGCUAUACCAAAUAUAGUGCUGCAUAUAAAUUUCUUGUACUAAAAAAUGAUGUUUUUGAUAAUAAUACAAUUAUUAAAACAAAAAAUGUUGAAUUUUUUUGACAUAUUUUUCUAUUGAGAACUGAUACAAUUUUUCUUCCAUCUUUUAGUGAAAAUGUUUUUUUAAAUGCAAAAUGAUGAUUUGAGAAGAAGUAAAAGACAAAAGAAAGAAAUUUCUUUUUGUAAUGAUUUUUACACUUAUCUUGUAGAUAAUGAUCUUUUAAAUUAUGCUAAUUCAAUUUCUUCUAAAGAAUGUCCAUUUUGAAAAGACGUUAUACAAAAUGAGAUUGAUUCUAUUUUACAAAAUCAAACCCGGGAAUUAAUUUAUUUACCACCUGAAGCUAAGCCAAUUGGUUGUAAAUGGAAUUUUUAAAAAAAAUUUAAUCUUGAUUAUUUUAUUGAUAAAUACAAAAUUAAAUUAGUUGCUAAGGGUUUUACCAAAAAAUAAAAUAUUGAGUAUUUUGAUACUUUUGCUCUAGUAACAAGAAUUUCAUCUAUUUGUAUUUUAAUUGCCUUAGCUUCGAUUUACAAACUUUUUGUUCAUCAAAUGAAUGUUAAAACAGUUUUUUUAAAUGAUGAUUUAGAAGAAGAAAUUUAUAUGACACAACUCGAGGGAUGUGUACUUCUUGGUCAAGAAAACAAAAUUUGUAAAUUAAUUAAAUCUCUAUAUACUUAAAACAAGCACCAAAAUAAUGGUAUGAGAAAUUUGAUUAAAUUCUUGUUAAUAAUAGAUUUUUUACUAUUGGAGUUGAUAAAUGUGUGUACACAAAAACUAUUGAUAACGAAUAUAUGAUUAUUAGCUUAUAUGUUGAUGAUAUGUUUAUUUGUGGUACAUGCAUUGAUGUGGUAAAUAAAACAAUAUGUUUCUUAACUUAUAAAUUUGAUAUGAAAGAUUUGGGAGAAACCAAUAUUAUUUUGGGUGUUAAAGUCAUAAGAUGUGAGAGUGGCCUAAUGUUAACACAAAAACAUUAUAUUGAGAGGUUACUUAAAAAGUUUAGACAUUUUAAUGUCACACUUGUGAAUACUCCUUAUAAUGUUAAUACCCAAUUAAAGAAAAAUAGAGAUGAUAGUAUGGCUCAACCUUAGUAUGCAUAGAUUUUUAAAAGUUUGAUGCAUUUGAUGAAUUAUACUUGACUUGGUAUAGCUUAUGUUAUGUGUAGACUGAGUAAAUAUACAUAAAGUCUCAAUCAAGAUCAUUGAACUGUUUUGAAUAGAGUAAUGAAAUAUUUGAAAUGUACCAUAAACUAUGAUAUUUUAUAUAAUAGAUUUUCCGUUGCAUUAGAAAGGUACAAUAAUGUUAACUUAAUCUCAUAUUCAGAUGAGACAAAAUUCAUGAGUGAUUAUGUAUUCACCAUUGGUGUGGAUGCUGUUACUUAGAAAUUAGUCAAAUAAAUAAUAAUUACUAAAUCUACAGUGGAAUCAGAAUUUAUAGUUUUAGAAUUAACUAGUAAUGAGGUUGAAUAGUUAAGAAACCUCUUAACAGAUAUUUCAUUAGAAAUGAAACCAACACCUUCUGCGUCUAUGUAUUGUGAUUGUCUAACGGCAAUAAACAUUGUGAAGAAUAAAACUUUCAAUGGUAAGAAUAGACACAUUUGUUUAAGAUAUGAUGUGGUAAAAUAAUUACUUAGAGAUGAAAUUAAUGUCCAUUAAUUAUACGAAGUCAUAUACCAAAAAAUAUAAAUUAUGAAACCGAUGAAUCCUUUUAGAACUAUUAUUUUGCAUUUCAAUAAGUCCAUGGUGGAAUUUUAAGACUGCACAAAUGAAUUCAUAGGAUUGUUUAAGUGAUUUUAUUUAUAUGUUAUUGCAGACAGAUUACAAAAAUUCCUUUCCUGUUAGUUUCGUUAUCAAUCAGUUCAUACGUUAUUUUCUUCAUUAAUUCUUGUUUGAGUGGAAAAUCAUCUCAGAGCUAUGAUUGGCUUGUGUUGAAGUUGUUGGAUUGAAUUAAUUAGUUGACUGGACUGACUUUUCAAACGAAGACGAGUGAGGGAGAAAGACCGCACCAUUAAAAGUUGACUGACUUUUCAGUUACCGCAUGAAACCGUACAACUCUCAGACGUGAGUCUGAAAAAUGUGCAAUUUUGCUAAUAUAUGCAUGUGAUAUUUUUGUCCAAAAUAUUAUCAAAACAAAUUGUAUAGAACUGUGAAAUCCGUAAAAGUUGUUUGCAAAAAGGUUUUUAACAGCACAAGUUAAAGAAAAAAGGUCAAAGGAAGAUUUGAUUUCAAUUACAGCCACAGAAAUAAUUAACAAAGCAAUAAAGAUAACAUUAUCCUAACUCUUAUUUAAUCUCUCUCGUUAAACUUUGUUAUACUUAAUUCUCCUAAAAAAAACUUUUUUAUACUUACAAAAAAUAAAUAUAAGAUAUGGAGAUUGAUCAAUUUUAUUUAGAAUUAUUAUUUUAUAUAUUUGCAAUGAAAUUUUGAAAUUCCAAAUUUCAUAACAUUAUUUAAGUCAUAUUAUAUAUCUACAUAUAUAUAUAUUAUGUUAAGGGGUAUAUUGAUCUCACUAAUGUGCAGAUAUACUUGGAUGAAUUACCCAUGAGUGCUAUGGUAGGCUUUGUGUUAAAUGUGUUUUCUGGUUUGGGUUUAAUUAGUUGUCUGACUUUUCAAAAGAAGACUUGGUUUUAACAAUAAAUAUAAGAGAACAUCAUAGUGCUUCUUCACAAACUAAUUAAGCCCUUAAUCUCCUUCUCUCCCACUGAAAUUUUAGGAUGCUAAGAGCAAAGCUUCCAUUAUUCGGCCUUCUGGCCCUUGCUUUAUCUCUAUUCCCUGAUGCAUGCAUCGCUAGAGGCAAACACAAGCACUGUGGCUCUUCUUUCUGUGGAAACAUUAAUAUCACUUCCCCUUUUCGAUUAAAAAGUCAGCCUCGAAGUUGUGGUUACAAUCGUUAUGAACUAGUAUGCGAGAAUAACCGCACCAUUUUCCCCAUGAAACAUGGGAAUUUCUAUGUCCAACACAUCUCUUAUAGUGACGAAACCAUUCAACUGUUAGACGUGAGUCUUGACAAGGAUAACUUUUUUAUACAAUGAAUUUAUAAGAUUGCUUGAAUGAUUUUAUUCCUAUUUGAGUGGAAAAUCAGCUAAGAGCUAUGAUUGGCUUGUGUUAAAGUGGUUGGCUUUAAUUUGUUGACCUGACUGACUUUUCGAACGAAGACAAGUGAGCAAGAAUAACCACACAUUUUCCCCAUGAAAUAUGAGAAUUUCCAUGUGGAAAAAGCCAUAUAAGUCUUAGAGGUGAGUCUUACCAAGCCACUCGGUAGGAGAUAGGGUAUACAUCUCCCUCAUCAUAAGUAUCCAUGCACGUCAAUAUAGGGUCAUGUGUAUCUCUUAAAUUGCAGGAUGAAGAUGAAUUCUUCGGUUUACAUUGAUGCUUUCCAUUGCACCAAUCGAUGUUCCUCUCCACGCUAUUUUGUUUCUUCAGUCAAAUUAUUGUCUGGUUAACAACUAAUGGAAAUGUAAGGACGGAAUAUUCACGUGAUAUGUUGCAUAAUUUAUACUAUAAUAUUUUAUCAUUGUUAACGGCACAAUUUGAUAAAAAGAUCAAAAUGAAAUCAUUGUAUUAUAUUUUGUGUAAAAUGCAUAAAAAAAAAGAAUUCUAAAUUUNNNNNNNNNNNNNNNNNNNNNNNNNNNNNNNNNNNNNNNNNNNNNNNNNNNNNNNNNNNNNNNNNNNNNNNNNNNNNNNNNNNNNNNNNNNNNNNNNNNNNNNNNNNNNNNNNNNNNNNNNNNNNNNNNNNNNNNNNNNNNNNNNNNNNNNNNNNNNNNNNNNNNNNNNNNNNNNNNNNNNNNNNNNUCUAUACUUAACAAAAGAUAAAUGUAAAAUAUAAAAUUGAUCAAUUUUGUUUAGAAUUAUUAUUUUAUAUAUUUUGAAAUUUUGAAAUUUCAAAAUAUAUAAUAUUAUUUAAGUCGUAUUAUAUAUUAUAUUAUUGAAGGCUUAUAUUAAUCUCCCUACUGUGCAGAUAUACUUGGAUGAAUUAUAAAGAUGUCUUUUCUAUCAGUUUCGCUACGUACCAAUUGGUUGGACACAUAUUUUAUUCUUUCUUAUUUGUUUGUGUUAAAAGUGUUUUGCGGUUUGGGUUUAAUUAGUUGACUGACUUUUCAGAAGAAGACUUGGUUUUAAUAAUAAAUAUAAGAGAACAUCACAGUACUUCUUCACAAACUAAUUAAGCCCUUAAUCUCCUCUCCCGCUGAAAUUUUAGGAUGCUAAGAGCAAAACUUCCAUUAUUUUGCCCCUUGGCUUUUGCUUUAUCUCUAUUCCCCGAUGCAUGCAUGGCUAGGGGCAAAAACAAGGACUGUGGCUCUUCUUUCUGUGGAGAAGUUACCAUCAAAAAGCCCUUUCAGUUAAAAAGCCAACCUCUCAGGUGUGGAAACCGUGGGCUUGAAGUCGAGUGUGACGACAAUAACCGCACCACUUUCCCCAUGAAAUAUGGGAAAUUCCUUGUCCAAGACAUCUCUUAUAAUAACGGCACAAUUCAUAUUAUAUUAUAUUUUUAUGUAUGUUUGUAUCUAUAGUAUUAGUUGUUUAAACUUUUUGGGUGCAAUUCUUUUUCAUAUAUAAUUAACAGCUUUUAUAAAACAGCAGUCUUUGUCACUAUAUAUGCUUGUAAAUCUCUCUUUAACUGCAAUUUUUUUGUCCAAAAUACUUCUAAUAAAAGAUUGUAUAGAGCAGCCAAAUUUGUAAAGUUCUAUCCUAAUUAAAACACUUUCAAUAACAUCUUAAAAAAAUUAAAUGCCAAAGUUAUUGUAGUGUGUUUUUCCCCUUUGGCUCUAGACUCUAGUUUAUUAAAUUUUCAAAGGAAGAUUUGCUUUCAUUUGCAGCCACAGAAUGAUAAGCAGAGCUACCAAGAUAAGAUUAUCUUAGUUCUUAUUUAAUCUUUCUUUUCAAACUUUUUUAUGCAUAUAAAAAAAUGUGAAAUAUGGACGGAUUAGUUCUUUUAGACUUAAUAGGUUGAUGGUGAAAUUUUAAGACUACACAACAUAUUUAUAGGAUUGUUUUUUAUUUAUAUUUUAUUGGGGGUUAAUAUUAGUCUCCCAACUUAGACGAAUAACAAAAAUUCCUUUGCUAUCAAUUUCGUUAUCAAUCAGUUGCAUACGUUAUUUUCUUCACUUAAUUUCUAUGUGGAAAAAGCCAUAUAAGUCUUAGAGGUGAGUCUUGACAAGGAUAACUGCUCCAUUCCUUAUAGUUCCUAUCCUUGCUACAGCCCUUGUGGAAAAAGCCUAUCACUUGGUAGAAGAUAUGGUAUACAUCUCCCUCGUCAUAUGUAUACAUGCACCUCAAUAUAGGGUCAUCUAUCUCUUAAAUUGCAGGAUGAAGAUGAACAUUUGGUUUACAUCGAUGCUUCUCAUUCCACCAAUCGGUGUUCCUCUACAUCUUCUUUUGUUUCUUCGGUAUUUUACAUUGUUAAUGGGACAAUUUGAUAAAAAGAUCAAAAUAAAAUUGUUUCAAAAUAUUAUACACAUGAAAAAAUAUUACGAAUUUAAUUUGAUUACUUUAUUGCGAAAGUUGCAAAAAUAAUUGUAGAAGCAUGUAUAAUGAUUAUGGGCAUUAUUUGAAUAGAUAUUUUUCUCCUUUUUCGCGUCCGACUGAUCGUAACUUAUCUUCAAAUUCAAAUAAAAAAGAAAAAAAAUUCAAGACUGAGAGUAUUUUAGAUAGUCAUUCAAGAGCUUGACUGAUUUCAUAUUGGUCUGUGCAACAAAUUUGCAAAUUUUUUAAAAGACAACUUUGAACUUUAGACAUGCAUAAUUUUUUUAAUACACAGGGAAAAUGUAUAUAUAAAGUACAAGGAAAGAUAUAUCUAUAUAAAUUAAAUUAAUUUUACACACCCUUUUAUAUUUUUUUAUACAAUUUAUAUUUUGUUAAUCCAAUCAUUGAUUUCAAAUUAUAUUCACAUAAAUCAUGCAUAACAGAUUUCAAAUUAAUUAAAACUGAUUAACUAUUUAUUUGAUAAAAAUAAAAUUUCAAUUGUUAAAUAUAUUGAAAAAAUAAACAUUUUACCAAAUUGACUUUGAAAUUACAUGAUAAGUACAAGUUGUUAAAUCUAACAAUAAAAUAUUAAUUUUUAAAGAAAUUAUAAAAAAUGUAAAACUAAUUAGUUUUACGCAAAAAAAUUAAUUUAUUGUUAUUUAGGCUUUUGUGUGCAAUUUUUUCAUAUUUAACAGUAGUUGAAAAUAUGCGGUCUUUACUAAUAUAUGCAUGUGAUAUUUUUGUCCAAAAAUUACCAAAAACAUAUAGAACUGCGAAAUCCGUAAUGUUGUAUGGAAAAGGAUUUUUAACAACACAAGCGAAAGAAAAAAUUUAAUAAAUACAAAGUUAAUAUAGUUUGUUAUUUCCACUUAUUCAAAGGAAGAUUUGAUUUCAAUUGCAGCCACAGGAAUAUUUAGCAAAGCAAUGAAGGUAACAUUAUCCUAACUCUUAUUUAAUCUUUCUGGUUAAACUUUUUUUUACAUAAUAUUCCCAAAAAAAAACUUUUUAUACUUAUAAAAAUUAAAUAUAAGAUAUAUGGAGAUUGAUCAAUUUUACUUAGAAUUAUUAUUUUAUAUAUUAGCAAUGGAAUUUUGAAAUUCCAAAUUUUAUAACAUUAUGUAAGUCACAUUGUAUUUAUUUAUUUAUUGAGGGGUUAUAUUAGUCUCCCUACCGUGCAGAUAUGCUUGGAUGAAUUAGAAAGAUUUCUUUUCUGUCAGUUUCGUAAUGUAUCAAUUGGUUGGACACAGAUUUUCUUCUUUCUUGUUUGUUUGUUUGCGUGGAAAAUCACCCAUGAUUACUAUGAUUGGCUUUGUGGUAAAAGUGUGUUGCGGUUUGGGUUUAAUUAGUUGACUGACUUUUCAAAAGAAGACUUGGUUCUAACAAUAAAUCUAGGAGAACAUCAUAGUGCUUCUUCACAAACUAAUUAAGCCCUUAAUCUCCUUCUCUCCCGCUGAAAUUUUAGGAUGCUAAGAGCAAAACUUCCAUUAUUCGGCCUUCUGGCCCUUGCUUUAUCUCUAUUCCCUGAUGCAUGCAUCGCUAGAGGCAAACACAAGCACUGUCGCUCUUCUUCCUGUGGAAACAUUAACAUCACUUACCCUUUUCGAUUAAAAAGCCAGCCUCAUAGGUGUGGUUACAAUGAGCUUGAACUAGUGUGUGAGAAUAACCGCACCAUUUUCCCCAUGAAAUAUGGUUAUGGGAAUUUCUAUGUCCAACACAUCUCUUAUAGUAACAAAACCAUUCAAAUGUUAGACGUGAGUCUUGACGAGGAUAACUGCUCCAUUCCUCAUAGUUCCUACCCUUUCUACGUGGAUGCACUAAAUAUAUAUUCCUAUCAAACUACCACUGAACCUAGCAUCAUGUAUCUCGUAAAUUGCCCGAUCCAGAUCAACAACUCUUGGGUUUAUAUUGAUGCUUUUCGUUGUACCAAUACCCCUUCCUCUCGACCUCCUUACUUUUACUUUUUGGAUGAAAAUACUGCAAUGUCUAAUUUCCAUGAGUCAUGCACAGUUGAAGCGCAGGUUCCAAUCAUGGUUGCCAAUAUCACUGGCCUCUCUACUUUUGAUAUUUACACAAAGCUGUUGGAGGGAUUCCAACUCUCAUGGUCUUCGUAUGAUGAUAUGUCAAGGUGAGACUCAGUUUUUAACGCGUGAGGAUUUUUAAGUAUUCCAAACUAUUUGGUGCAUUUUAGUUUUUGAAAAGUAUUUAUUAUUUUUAGUUUUUAAUUUUUAAAUUACCUUUUUAACUAUGUAUAUAAAUUUUUAUAAUUAGAAUCACAAAUUUUUAUUACUGUAGUAUCUUCUUCAGACUUUGAUUAUUUACUUUUACUCUAAAUUUGUUUAAUGUAAAAUUUAAACAGAAGCAUUUAAAAUAUUUUAAACAGUGAAAGUGCGCAUUUCAUGGCCUUAUUAAGGAUAACGGUUUUGAUGUGCUUUCUUGAAUAUUAAUUAUAGAUUGCUCUGGCUGUUGCUGCAUCCGCUGCAAAUAUAUAUUCAAAGCAUCAUGGCUUUGUUUCAACCAGAUUAUUUCUAUGCACCUUAUAAAGGUAUUCGUUCUUUUUUGAGUUCAUUAAUAAUUUGAUUCUUAUUGGAUUGGCCUUUACUUUCCUGUAUAGUUGACUUGACUCUUUACGUGCAUCAUAAGUAAACUGUUAAAUUUAAUAGUUGGUUUAUUAAAAUAUUAAUAGUAUACGAAGUUAUAAAAAAUUUAUAAAAAUUAAUUAAUUAAUUUUAUAGUGGUGUUGUGUGAGUAUCGCAUAUAUGUAUACGUAUGUAUCCAAGUGACUACAUAAAAGAAGAUCCAUCAUAAAUGAUUCAUAAAUAAUUUUGAACUACAUUAAUUGGGUAUUUUUUAACUAGGUAUUUUUAUGAUGUUGUGAUUUUUUUGGUCAAAAUAAAAAUUAUGUGGAAUAAGGUCUAAAUUUACCAUUCUAUAUAUUUCGGAUAAUGGAUCAAACUUGUCAGCAUCUUUGAACGGGUGUAAUUUUGCCAUUAUACUUUUAAAUUAGUUAAAAAUGUAAUCAAAAGUUAAGACUAAUGUUAAUUUUUGACCAUUUUUGAAGUAAAUUAAAAUGUAUAAUGGUAAAAAUUGCACUUGUUUAAAAAUAAAAUAAUAAAUUUGAUCCAUCACCUUAAAUAAACUAGUGUGUGUAAAUUUAAAUUUUAUCCCAAAUUAUGUUAUGAAUUUUGUUGGGGAAAAUAUGGCAGCACAUACCCAACUUAAAUUGGUAAAUGACAUAUGCAUAGCAUAUAAUCAUGUUGUCCAACUAAUUAAUAUAUAUAUUGUUAUGUAAUUUUUUUUUUGUGAAACAGGAAUUAUAUUGCUAAGAACACUUUUGGGGAUAAUUUGCUUGAUUAUAUUGGUUAUACGCAAAUUAAAAAGGAGGCAUUUGUCGAUGGAUGACAUGAUUGAGAAUUUUCUUCAGAGUCAAAACAAUUUAAUGCCUAUAAGAUAUUCUUAUUCUGAAAUAAAAAGAAUGACGGAAGGUUUCAAGAAUAAACUAGGACAAGGAGGAUAUGGCUCUGUGUUUAAAGGAAAACUUCGAAGUGGUCAAUUUGUUGCGGUAAAAUUGUUAAACAAAUCAAAAGCUAAUGGUCAAGAUUUCAUCAAUGAAGUUGCAACUAUUGGAAGAAUUCAUCAUGUUAAUGUAGUAAGACUCAUUGGAUUUUGUGUGAAGGGAUCGAAACAAGCUCUUGUAUAUGACUUCAUGCAAAAUGGAUCCUUAGAUAAAAUAAUAUUUUCAACUGAAAGUAACACUUUGAGUUGGCAAAAAAUGUUUGAGAUUACAUUGGGAGUGGCUCGAGGUAUUGAAUAUUUACAUAGAGGUUGUGAAAUGCAAAUUUUACAUUUUGAUAUUAAGCCACAUAACAUUCUUCUAGAUGAGAACUUCAUCCCGAAAGUUUCAGAUUUUGGCCUUGCAAAAUUGUAUUCGGUGGAUGAUAGUAUUGUCUCUCUCACGGCUGCAAGAGGUACAUUAGGAUAUAUGGCUCCUGAAUUGUUUUAUAAAAAUAUUGGAAGCAUCUCAUAUAAAGCUGAUGUUUAUAGUUUUGGAAUGAUGUUAAUGGAAAUUGUCGGAAGGAGAAAAAAUGUGAAUGUCUCUGCUGAACAUUCGAGUCAAAUUUAUUUUCCAUCAUGGAUUUAUGAUCGACUUGAAGAAGGAGAUAACAUAGAGCUUAGAGAUGUAACGGAGAAUGAAAACAAAAUUAUGAGGAAAAUGUUAAUAGUAGCCUUUUGGUGCAUACAGAUGAAGCCCACAGAUCGUCCUUCAAUGAGCAAAGUCUUGAAGAUGCUUGAAAGUGAAGUUGAGCUCCUUGAAAUGCCUCCCAAGCCUGCUUUCUCUUGAAAUGUCAACCAAAUCAUUUGGUGUUGUAUUAUAAGUAAUAUUUAAUAUUGUAUGUUAAGCAAUGUUUCACUACUUUAUUAUAUUACUUUUAUAAUUUUUAUAGUAGAAACCUUAAGCUUGAGGCAUAAUCUUCUCUCUUCCAAAAAAAAACAAAAGAAACAAAAACAAUAUAGAGUGGUGAUGAAGAUAGUAUAGCAAGGAAAAGAAGGAUACUGAGUUGGAGUUUUGAGCCUGCGAAGGUAUUAUUUUAGGAGAUUUGUAAUGGUAUCUUGUUAGUAUUUUGUUUAUAUAAAAAGUCUUUUGUUCAUACAAAGGGCAAAGACUUUAAAUAGCAUUGUCUAUACAAUCAUUAUGUUAAUGCAAAUAGUUAACCAAGUUUUUAAAAAAAUUAAAGAUUUUUCUAAACCAUGUUUGGAAUUAUAAAUUUUUUAUUUAAAAAAUGUAAAUUAUUUGAGUUUUCUCUCUUAAUUAAAAAAGUCAAAUGUUAUCGAAUUCAAAUAUUUAUUUAAAACGAUUCAAAAUCAAAUUCAAUUUAAUUCAAAUUAAAUGACAAAAAUUAAAAAUUUGAAUCCAAAAAUAUGUGAAUUUAAAAUGAUAUUAAUACAAUCUACCUUCAACAUAACUCGAAUCUAAAACGAACCGAGCUCAUAAUGAUCCAAAACCCAAGAUUUAUUUGAUCCAAAACUUAUAAAAACUUAUAUUUAUAACUCCAAAAAAUCCAAAUUAUAAUUAAAUAAAUUUAUUUAAUAGCUAAAUGAGUAAAUGAUUAUUUUUUAAGUGAAAAUUUUAAGACACACAAGCACCUUUUUCUCGUCAAUGCUUUUUCUUUGCACAGAAAAAGCGCAUAGGAAUGGCAUGGUCAACUACUCUGCUUCACCUUCACUUCAAAUUCCCUCCGGUUUCUUCUCAUCAAUUGCCACAUUCCCUCCCCAAAAAAUCCCCAAUCUUCCUAAACCCUAUCCCUAUAAUUCCCAAUUCCAAACACCCCAAAAUGCAAUUCCUUCACAGACCCAACGCGUUUCCAGGCCAAGGCGCAGUAUCAAAAGCCAUGGACAUCAUCCAAUCCUCUCUGCCCACGUGGCAAUCGGCCUUCCUCAGCAACCUCGUGAUCUUCGUUGUCGGAACCCCACUUUUAAUAGCGGGACUAUCUCUCUCCGGAAUUUGCGCUGCCUUCUUGCUUGGCACUCUCACUUGGCGCGCUUUUGGGUCUUCUGGGUUCCUCCUCGUUGCUUCUUACUUCGUUAUAGUGAGUCAUUACAAAGUCUAUGGAUUUUAUUUGAAUUAUAGGAUUUAAGUUAAAUUUAGAAAUGGGGUUCUGAUUUUUGUUCCCAUUUGGUAUAAAGUUUACGCUUUGGAGGACAAGUUUCAUUGUUUGGUAAAUAUGGCAAAGGAAAAGAAAUUUAGUUUAUGUCAAAAAGAUUUCAUGUGACGUAGUUUGUUAUUUAAGUGUGAUUUGUUUUUGUUUAAAGAAUUGGAUUACACUAGGUGAAAUCAGGUCAAAACCAUAACCAAAAUAUUUUUUCCAAAAUUUCUUUAUUUUCAUUUGUUUUCCUCUUGGUGGGGGGCAGGUGGAGGAGCCAGGGAGAAUUUAUGGGUUCUCGCAGUUUUAGACUAGUUUGAAACGAUAUAGUAUUGUUUUUCCUGCUUUCCUUUCUGAUAAUGGCUUGUUUUACUUGCAAAAUGAAUCUUGAAUUAGUUCCUCCUUCCCUCUUCUGAUUUUCCCUACCCAUAUUUCUAGUUGAAGAUAAUAGUUUCAAAUCAUGCUUGAAAACUAUAUUACAAAAUACUUGUAAUAUCAAACAAUUUUGUGUGGCAUUCGAGUUUCUAAUUUGAAUGGAGAAAUAAUUGGGAUGGAAGUGGUAUUAAAUUUAGAGGAAAGAAACAAGAAUGCCUUUUGCAACAUUACAAAGAAAAGAAAAGAAAACCUAGUAUAAAACUUCGGAAGAUGCUUGAUUAUAAGGUGCUGGGCUUUUGAGGACCUGAGACUUCAUAAUACUUUAUAAUUCUCUAGAUCUUCAGGCAAUCUUACAGCUCUUUGUCAUGCCUCUAAAACAAAUGCGGUAAAACCAUGCUCAAUUGUUCAAAUUGUUAUGCUCAAUUGAGAACUCCUGACCUGUUAUGUGUGUGUGGAGAUGAUAACACCAAUGAAUGGCCUUGUUAUACGGAUGACCGCUCAUGAUAAUUGCUACUUCAAAAAUUAUUGGCUUAGAUUUUGCUGCUGUGUUUUGAAACUUGUUGGCAUGCCUCACGAAUGCUGCGAAAUGUGCAGAAGGUUUCUGAGAUCUUGCUGCCAUCUAAGAAGAAAGAAUAGGUGAAAUUGUACAGGUACUAUGAAUAUGAUGUAAUGUUUAGCUUUUUUAUAGGGACUUCCUUUUUGUAUAGUGAACUUGGUUGCAUUGGAAUGAGUCUGUUCUCUGGGAAGAAUCACUGUUCUGAAAUUUGUUAAGUCUGAUCACAAUUGCAACCAGGAGCGGCAUGCCUUGCUUUUCUUCUCAUAGGGCAUGAGGGUAUCCCAUCAGGGUUCUUUUUGUGAACCCCUCUUAUGAAAUAACAUCUUCUAUGCCUUUCCAAAAAAAAAAAAGUAACAAUCACAUGGCAUAAUUUUUUCUUACAAUAUGAGAGUACUACAUCAGAGUUUCUUAAUGCACUAAGAAAAGUUAGAGAUAAGGUCUAAGAAAAUAUCAAUUUCAAGAAGAAACAAAUAACACUAGAAUCAUAUUUUACAAAAAUAUCAUAAUUGAGUCAUGUAUAUAAAUAAUUUUGAUGUAUGAGGAAAUUAUUAAUUUAUAUAUCAAGUGAGAUCUAUGUGUUUUUUUUCAAAAUGUAUUAUCUUAUUAAUUUAACAAAUUAUUAAUUUAUCAUGUUGAUCUCAAAUCAGGACCAACCAAAAUUAAUAUUUAUUCAAAAUUAUUAAUUUAUCAAGUAUUAUUUAUAGAAGAUUUGUUGUACUUCUUUGUAAUUCACUCUAAAUAAAAGGGUAUGUUGAAACAAGCGGAAUUUAGAUCCCUUAUGGUUCUUGCUACAUUUAAGUACUAUUAAUGUCAUUUAUGCUGGUUAUAAAGAUCUGACAUUUUAUUUAGAAACAAAAUUUGUAGAGUGUCAAGCUUUAAUAGCUUUUUUUUUUUGUUGCUUUUUAAUGUUUAUAUUCGUUGCUAUAUACUAUUUUUUUCCCUAUCAAACCAUUCUUUCAUGCUUACAAAUUUAAAUUUGUGGUGUGCAAAAAUUGUUGGUGUAUUUUCAAAAAUCAAAGGUUAUGUCACAUAAUCAAAAGCUAUCUUAGCUCAAAGGUUUGUCACAUAAAGUGACAUAGUGUGACUAUUGGAUUGUAGACAGGUUAUNUUGGUGUAUUUUCAAAAUCAAAUGUUAUGUCACAUAAUAAAAAGCUAUUUUAGCUCAAAGGUUGUCACAUAAAGUGACAUAGUGUGACUAUUGGAUUGUAGACAGGUUAUUGUUUCAUUAGAUAUGAAAAGUUAUUGUUUCAAAUUAUAACUCAAAGAUUAUGAUUUAUGGAAUGAAUAGUUGUCCUUUCAUUAGAUGAUUAUUGAAACAAUACAUUUAUCUUAAAGUUGUGUCUAGCAAAAUGUAAAGAUGUCUUUUAGACAAAAUGGUGUCUUAAUAAAAGGGUUGUGUCCUUGAAGAAGAGACACUUGCAAGCCUAUGUAAAGGGCUUGUUGCCAACCAUUUUUACACAUCAAAUCAAAAACAAAACAAGAACAGAAAAUCAAGAGUAAGAAAGUGUUGUGUUCUAUUAACAUAAACACUUAAGUUCCCAUCAACUACAAAAGCAUCAAAAUUUCUUAUAAUCUACUUGUUGUAGAAAGUAAGCUCUAAAGCCAAACAACUUUGCAAACCCUUAGAUAUAUCUAGUGGUCUACUCUCGUAAAGUGCAAGACAAAGUUAAACGUUAGCUUCAUUGUAUCCUUAAAACUAUUCGCAUUAUUUCUCUUUGCAUACUGAGUGGUGGGGAUGAAAUAAGUUUUAAAAAUAAUGUCUAUUGAAAAGCUCGCCUUAAAAUCAAUUUUGUUGGUUCUUAAAUUUCAUCUAAACCUCAUUUGCACCAACAAAAAUGAACAGGUACCUACUUUACUUUAUUAUUCUACUUUUAUUAUAUAAUUUUUAUAGUCUCCUUUUUCAUCUUAUAUACGGAAUCAGAUCCAUAUAGAAACCUUAAGCUUGAGGCAUAAGCUUCUCUCUUAUGAAAAUAAAAUAAAAUAAAAUAAAAUAAAAAUCAAGAGCAGUAUAUAUACCAUUGUGAAUGAAUAAAGUAUAAAAUCAUAGUGCCUUUUGAGAUACAAAACAUUGUGAAUGCGACAAGAAGUAUUAGUUGUAAUGUGUUAAUGGUCAUUUUUAAAUCAAAUUAAAAAUGUUACUAUUAGCAAUAUCAAGAAUUGCCAAGGAGAAAUUCAUUGAUAAAAUGACAAAUACCCGAAUUCUCUUCAUUGGCAACUUUACUAAAAAUCACUUUCAACGAAAAAAAAUUAGUAAAAGAUCUUCCAUAUUAUCUCUAUAUAUAGUAUAAUAUCAAAAUUUAGUAUUCUAAAAAUUUUAUUUUAUGCUGUUUUAGUACUAACAUAUUUUAAACAAUAUCAUUGUUUAUAUUAUUAUUACACGGACACUACUUACAUAUAAUAUAUAUAUAUAUAUAUAAAAGAUAAUAGCAUUGUUAGCUUUAUUAGAAUGAAUAAUUGAUUUUUUUUAAAAAUAGAAUGAAUAAUCUAACGAGAUGAAUUGGAUUUUAAAAACUUUUUUUGACAAAAUAAAAUCUAAAAAAAAAACACAUCAAAUAAUAAAAUCAAAACCAUUAAAUAAAUAUUUAACUGAAAAUAAAUGUAAUAAAAAUAAAUAGUAUAGGGUAAAAAUAUUUGCAAGAACCAUUUAUAAAGGUUCAAUCUUGUCUCUUGGUAUUUAUGUCACAAGUCUACUUUCUAAUCCAAAAGACAUGCAUAUUAAGUAAAGAUAGACAUUUAUUUAUAAAUCCAAGACUCAACUCAUCUCUUAUUAAUGUAAGAUCUAUCACAUUCUACCUCACCUAAUUGUUCAAUACGUUCGUUGCAUCGGCUCCUUUACUCAUAGAGGAGAGGGACCGUAUCUUGAUCUAAGUCUACCUCGAACCUGAUAUCUUUUAUAAAAGUUUCAUACUAGUUAAGAGUUAAGUUUGCUCUAAUACCACUAAUCACGAGUUCACAUUUCUAAUCCAAAAAAUAUACAUAUUAGAUAGAGAGAGGCCCUUAUUUGUAAAUCAAGACCCACCCAUAUGACACUUACAUUCUCUCUCUUAGUGUAGUAAAGAGUUCAAUACACUACUUAAUUCAACCAAUACAAAUACUAUUUUCUUGCGUAUCCAAAACAUGCAAAAAAUGCUCUACUUCCCUAUGUGAUACCUCAGAUGAAAUAAAUUAUUUCCUCAUCUUUAAAAGAAAAUACAAUAAUUGUAAAUUUUAUUUUUCUCCUAUUUUAUGUAACAGCCUCAACUUUGACUAAGGUUAUAAAUUACUUGUGUUGAACCAUUUGAUAACUUGCCAUGAGAUUUAAACAUAUGUAUUAAAUAUAUGAACAAAUGACAAUGUGUUUAAGGAUCUUGAAUGAUAAACUAUUAGGGUAAAAUACCCUUACCCCUCUAAGUUUUGAUUGAAAUUACAUGGAGGUCCAUUAGUUUUCAAAAUAGACACUCCGCCCCAAAAAAAUAUUUUUCACUGGACAUUUAGGUCCAGUUGUUAGUCAACCAUUAGUGUUUCCGUCAAUUUGAUGAUGUGAUAAGGGUAAAAACAUAAUUUCACCAUUGAUUAAUUUUUAAAAUUACUAUUAUAUAAUUUUAUUAAUUUUUUAAUUAAUUAAAAUAAAAAAGCUCCUCAAGGAGCAUUAAAGCUCCCUGGGAAGCACCAAUCGGGUGCUCCCCUCCCUUGAGGAGCACGAUGCUCUCUUUUUUAAAAUUUUUUUAAACAUAUAAUAUAAUUUUUAAAAUUUAUAUAAAAAAAAGAAAAGACAUUUUAGUCUUUUCCUAAUCUCUAUUAACGGUAUUUUCAUUUUUAGGACAAAGUGUCCAUUUCAAAAACUAAUAGACCUGCUUAAAAUUUGAACUAAAACUUAAAAGGUAGGGGUAUUUUACCCUAAAAUAUUAUGUUUUUGAUUAGAUUUUAGACCUUAAGCUAUGUGUUGAUAUGUUUUGACACUGAAUAUUGGUUAAUGUGGUGCAUACUAGUUGCAUUAAGAUGAAUAUUGAAAUAACAAAUCGUUUUGGAAGUCCAAAUUUGGAGUUAGGUAGUUUGAAGUGUUGAAAGUUUGCCUUUAGGAGAAAAUGUAUUGAUAAAUUCCUUGAUCUAUCAAUACAUUCAUGGCAGAAUGCCUUGGCAAAGCUUUCUAUCAAUACAUUCUAGAAUGUUUCGAUAGAUUUGGGCCAGGAGGCAUUCUAUAUGAAAACUCUCGAACAUUACAAGAACGUAUUGAUAGAUUUAAAAAGAUGGAUAUUUUGUAAAAAAGGUAUUUAUAGAUUUUCUUGAUCGAUCGAUACAUUUCAAGCAUAAAGCAUUCUUUUAAAUUUACUUCAAUAUGUUGGUACAUGUAUCGAUAGAUCUGAUGAAAAUUCGUGAAAAUGUAUCAAUGCAUGAUUGUAAGUCAGCAAAAAUAAAAGAGACUUUGGGCAUUCCACCCAUUUGAAAACACAAGGAAACAAAAGCUUUCCCUCCUUGCCUUUGAAACCCUAAAACCCCCUAGUAGAUUGGAACUAAUUUGGAGUACUUGGAAGCUUGGAAAUUCAUACUUAAGGUAAGAUCAAGCUUCCUAACAUUUUGAAUUACAUUUUAAUCGGUUCAAAAAUGAGAAUUUGACUAUGGUUUCAUCUCAAUUAUCUUCUCCUUGAGUUGUUGGGAUUUUGGAGUCUUAAGGGCUUAGAAUAGCUGCCAAGGUGAGGAAACCUAACUGUUUUGAACAUUGGAAACAAUGAAACCUAUGAUUUGGAUUGGUAGUUGGAUUUAGAAGCUCAGUUAGGCUUAGAAAAUCUGUGCAUGCUUUGAAAAAAGCUAAAGGUCUAGAAUUUAUGGAUUUGUUAGGUGAAGUGGGAACUUAGAGCUGUUGAUGAACUGAAAUUCUAUGUGGAAUGAUGGACGCAGUGUUUAGCUGAGUGUGAUGUCUUGGCUUCUUCUUGGAAGAAUGUUGCAGCACUAAAACUUUACUAUUUAGCAAUGUGAGUUACGUUAGAGAUAUUCUAGGUCAGUGGGGCAUUUUAUCUAGAAAUUAAGAUUUGAUGUAUGUAUGCACAAAUGUAUGCAUGUGCACUGCCAUGAAACAUGAUUGGUUGAUAAAAUGCUUAGAUGAACUAUGCAUAGGCCGAUGGGUUGAUUGAGCUCUAUUAUAGCUAUGUAUGUUAAUAAUAAAAACCUGUUUGAUAUUGGGUGAGCCAUGUGGUGGUGAUUGAGCUUGACUGUCUUAGUAUUCGCGACUAAAAAGUCUAUUGACCAUGCCUCUGCGCUUGUAUAAAACUUAUAACUUGAUACCUUUUUCUGUGGUAGCGUAUGAUUAUUGCUAAUUCUACGAAAUAAUGUUAUUAGUGAACUAUGGAAAAUCUGAAUUAUGAAAGUUGAUUGAGUUGCAUUCGUAAUUAUGCAUGUAUGAUGCCAAAUGGCUAUGUUAAUGACUUUUGCACAUGUAAUGGCGACACAAUUCCUAAUGGUAAUUGGUUUCGUCUUACGAGUGCUUUCUGGACGAUGAUAUGGUCUAGUUAGAAGGUGUCAUAGUCCCUGUGGUCUUGCUUACCAUUAGCAGUUUAGGCGUUGGACGUGUUUUGUUUACUUGGGAAGACCCUUCUCUUGUUACCAUCUUGAUGAUAACACAAUUUAAUUAGUUGACUUGACUGUCUUUUCAAUCCAAGACAAGUGAGCGAGAAAAACUGCACCAUUGCUCCAUGAAACCUUACAACUCUUAGACGUGAGUCUUGACCUCAUCGAUAGUUCCUAUCCUUGCUACACUCCUUGUGGAAAAAGCCUACCACUCGGCAGAAGAUAUGGUAUGCAUCUCCCUCAUCAUACAUGCACCUUAACAUAGGGUCAUGUAUCUCUUAAAUUGUAGGAUGAAGAUGAAGUCUUCGGUUUACAUUGAUGCUUUCUCAUUGCACCAAUCGAUGUUCCUCUCCACAUUAUUUCAUUCUUCAGUCAAAUUAUUCAUUGUUAACAACUAACGGAAAUGUAAGUGUGGAUUAUUCACGUGACAUGUUAAAUAAUUUUUACCAUGAUAUUUUAUUACUGUUAACAGUACAAUCUGAUAAAAAGAAUAAAAUGAAACCAUUUUAAAAUAUUAUGUGUAAAAUAUAUGAAAAAAGAUUAUAGAUUUAAUUUGAUUACAUUGCUGCCGGACUUACCAAAAUAAUUGUAGAAGCAUGUCUAAUGAUUAUAGGCAUAGCUCUUCAAAGAAAAAUACUGUUUUAUACUUAACAAAAAGAUAAAUGUAAAAUAUAAAAUUGAUCAAUUUUGUUUAGAAUUAUUAUUUUAUAUAUUUUGAAAUUUUGAAAUUUCAAAAUAUAUAAUAUUAUUUAAGUCGUAUUAUAUAUUAUAUAAUUGAAGGGUUAUAUUAAUCGCCUUACUGUGCAGAUAUACUUGGAUGAAUUAUAAAGAUUUCUUUUCUAUUAGUUUCGCUACGUAUCAAUUGGUUGGACACAUUUUAUAAUAAAUAUAAGAGACCAUCAUAGUGCUUCUUCACAAACUAGGACCUUAAUCUCCUUCUCUCCCGCUGAAAUUUUAGGAUGCCAAGAGCAAAACUUCCAUUAUUUUGCCUCUUGGCUUUUGCUUUAUCUCUAUUCCCCGACUGAGGCUCUUCUAUCUGUGGAAAUGUUACCAUCAAAAAGCCCUUUAAGUUAAAAAGCCAACCUCUCAGGUGUGGAAACCGUGAGCUAGUAGUCGAGUGUGACGAUAAUAACCACACCAUUUUCCCCAUGAAAUAUGGGAAAUUCCUUGUCCAAGACAUCUCUUAUAAUAACGGUACAAUUCAACUUUUAGACGAGAGUCUUGGCAAUGAUAACUGCUCCAUUCCUCAUAGGUCCUAUCCUUUGUACAUCCCUUUUGCGAAAAAACAACGUCUCUAUGAAGAUACCACUGAAUUUAGCAUCAUGUAUCUCGUAAAGUGCACGAUGCAGAUCAACUACUCUCGGGUUUAUAUCGAUGCUUUUCGUUGCACCAAUACUCCUUCCUCUCUACCUCCUUACUUGUAUUUUUUGGAUAAAAAAACAGCAAAGUCUGAUUUCCAUGAGUCAUGCAGAAUUGAAGCCCAGGUUCCAAUCAUGGUUGCCAGUAUCACUGGCCUCUCUACUUCUGAUAUUUACACAAAACUGUUGACGGGGUUCCGACUCUCAUGGUGGGAUUAUGCUUAUCAGUUUGGCUGGCUGCGGUGGGACUCAAUUGUUAACGUGUGAGGAUCUUUAAGUAUUCCAAAAUAUUUGGUGCUGUUUAGUUUUUGGAAAUGUUAACUAUUUUUAUUAUAAAUAAACAAAUAAGAUAAAAAUUUUAGUCUUUAUUUCUUUUUAAAAAGUUGACAACAUUUUUAAAUUACUAUUUUAACUAUGUAUAUUAAUUUGUUAUCUAAAAUUUAAACUCGAUAUUUUUAAAGAAUUACAGACUUUAAUUCUAUUAAUGUAGUGUCUACUUCAGACUUCAAUUAUUUCCUUUAAAUAUGUUUAGUGUAAAAUUUAAAGAUAAGGAUUUAAAGCAUUUUUAACAGUAAAAGUGUGCAUUCCAUUUAACUUAUUAAGGAUUAGCGGUUUUGAUGUUCUUUCUUGAAUAUUAAUUAUAGAUUGCUAUGGGUUUUAAAAAAAAAAGGAAGUAUAGAUUGCUAUCCUUGGUCAACCUUUUGCUGGCUCCGCUGUUUAUAUUUAUUGAAAGCAACGCGGCUCUUCUGCUAGGCAUCCCAACAGAGGAUUCAUUGGUAGAUAACAAAGGUGUUCUUUCUUUUCUGAGUUUGUUACUAUUUUGAUUAUUAUUGGAUUUACCUUUACUUUCCUAGGAUCUAUUAACACUUAGUUCUCGAAUCGGUAAAAUCUUAGCAUGAAUCCAGAUUUAUAUUUAUAUAUCAUUAAUUUAACAAUUGUAUUUCGUAAUCUAUUUACUUAUAUCAUGCAUGAUAAAUUUUAAGUUAAUUGAAAAUAUUUAAUUAUUUAAAUGAGAACAUUAAAAUUUUGACCAUUAAAUAUAUAUUAAAAAACCAAUAUUCUUGAGCAAUACGAUAUGGAUUAUCACAUUGAUUUGAAAUUUUAAAUGUAUGAUGAGUACGAAUAGUGUAUGAAAUUAUAAAAAGGUGUAAAACUUAAUUAAUUUUUAACUUGAGCCCUCAAAUUUAUAUAGUUUGUAUGAGUAUUGCAUAUAAAGUAUAUGUAUGUACAAAGAGAUUCCAAUAAAGGAUAAAAUUAUUUAAUAAGAGACGAUAUACUAUAAAUAAUUCAUGAAUAAUAUUGAACUACAUUAAUUGGGUUUUUUUCAGUUAGGUAUUUCUAUGUUGUUACGAUUUUUUUGGUCAAAAUAAAAAUUUUGUCCAAGUUUAUCAUAUUACUUGAAUGAGUACAAUUUUGUCAAUAUACUUUUAAAUUUGUUAAAAGAGAUCAAAAGUUACAAAAUGAACUAAAAUGUACAAUGAUAAAUAUUACACUCGUUAAAAAAAUAAAUAGUAAAUUUGAUCCAUCACCUUAAGUCUAGUGGUGAUAAAUUUAAACCUUAUCUCAAAUUAUUUUAUGAAGUUUGUUUGUGAAAUAUGGCAACAUAUACACAAAUUAAGUUAGUAACUAGCAUGUACAUAUUCUAUAAUCUUGUUGUCCAACUAAUUGGUUUAUAUAUAUGUUUUGUACUCUCUUUUUUUUUUUAUGAGAAACAGGAAUUAUAUUGUUAAGAACUUUUUUGGAGAUAACUUGCUUGAUUGUAUUUGUUAUACACAAAUUAAAAAUGUGGCAUUUGUCUAUGGAUGACAAGAUUGAGAAUUUUCUUCAGAGUCAAAACAAUUUAAUGCCUAUAAGAGACUCUUAUUCUGAAAUAAAAAGAAUAACAGAUGGCUUCAACAAUAAAUUAGGUCAAGGAGGAUAUGGCUCUAUAUUUAAAGGAAAACUUCGAAGUGAUCAACUUGUUGCAAUAAAAUUGUUAAACAAAUCAAAAGCUAACACCCAAGAUUUCACCAAUGAAGUUGCAACUAUUGGAAGGAUUCAUCAUGUUAAUGUGGUAAGACUUAUUGGAUUUUACGUGAAGGGAUCAAAACAAGCUCUUGUAUAUGACUUCAUGAAGAAUGGGUCCUUGGAUAAAAUUAUAUUUUCAACUGAAAAUAACACUUUGAGUUGAGAAAAAAUGUUUGAGAUUGCAUUGGGAGUGGCUCAAGGUAAUGACUAUUUACAUAAAGGCUGUGAAAUGCAAAUUUUUCACUUUGAUAUCAAGCCACAUAACAUUCUUCUAGAUGAGAAUUUUACUCCAAAAGUUUCAGAUUUUGGCCUCGCAAAUUUGUAUUCAGUGGAUGAUGAUAUUAUUUCUCUCACAGCAGCACGAGGUACGCUAGGAUAUAUGGCUUCUGAAUUGUUUUACAAAAAUAUCAGAGGUAUAUCAUAUAAAGCUGAUGUUUAUAGUUUUGGAAUGAUGAUAAUGGAAAUUAUCGGAAGGAGAAAAAAUUUGAAUGCCUCUGCUGAACAUUCAAGUCAAAUUUAUUUUUCAUCAUAGAUUUUUGAUCAAUUAGAUGAAGGAGAUACCAUGGAGCUUGGAGAUGUGACAGAAAUUGAAAACAAAAUUAUGAGGAAAAUGGUAAUAGUAACCUUAUGGUGCAUACAGAUGAAGCCCACAGAUCGUCCUUCAAUGAGCAAAGUCUUGAAGAUGCUUGAAAGUGAAGUUGAGCUCCUUGAAAUGCCUCCCAAGCCUUCUUUCUCCGGAAAUAUCAACUAAAGAUAGUAAAAAUUCUCCCUGCACACGUGGCAAUCGGCCUUCCUCAGCUACCUCGUGAUUUUCGUCGUUGGGACACCACUCAACAUCGUGAUCUUGCUAAAUCUGAUGCCCUUAAGUCGAUUACUUUUUCUGUAUUUAGUUUUUUGAGUGGUACGUAGUUUUUGUUUCCACCGAGAUCUAGCAGGCAGUGUUUGUAUUCUCUUUACCACCUUGGUUUGUUUUGUUUCUGCUACUUCUCUAUUUCCCUGUAUGCGACCUUUGAUGAAAUAAAUCAUUUCCUCACUUAUAAAAAAAUUGCAAGAAAAUGUAAAUUUUUUCCCUUAUUUUAUAAAAAGAAAAUGUGUUAUAUCUUAUAUUAUAUUUUUAUGUACCUAUGUAUCUAUAGUAUUAGUUGUUUAAACUUUUUGGGUGUAAUUCAUUUUCAUAGAUAAUUAACAGCUUUUAUAAAAGUGCAGUCUUUGUCACUAUAUAUGCAUGUAAAUCUCUCUUUAACUGCAAUUGUUUUGCCCAAAAUACUUCUUAUAAAAGAUUGUACAGAGCAGCCAAAUUUGUAAAGUUCUAUCCUAAGUAAAAUAUUUUUAAUGACACAAAUUAAAAAAAUUAAAUGUCAAAUUUAUUGUGGUGUGUUUUUCCCCCUUUGACUCUAGACUCUAGCUUAUUAAAUUUUCAAAGGAAGAUUUGCUUUCAUUUGCAGCCAGAGAAUGAUUAGCAGAGCAACCAAGAUAAAAUUAUCUUAGUUCUUAUUUAAUCUUACUUUUUAAACUUUUUUAUACAUAUAAAAAAAUGCAAAAUAUGGACUGAUUAGUCCUUUUAGACUUGAUUGGUCGAAGGUGAAAUUUUAAGACUAAACGGUGAAUUUACAAGAUUGCUCGAAUGAUUUUAUUCCUAUUUGAGUGGAAAAUCAGCUAAGAGCUAUGAUUGGCUUGUGGUAAGGUGGUUGGCUUUAAUUAGUUGACUUGACUGACUUUUCGAACGAAGACAAGUGAGCAAGAAUAACCACACAUUUUCCCCAUGACAUAUAUAUGAGAAUUUCUAUGUGGAAAAAGCCAUAUAAAUCUUGGAGGUGAGUCCUGACAAAAAUAACUGCUCUAUUCCUCAUAGUUCCUAUCCUUGCUACACCCCUUGUAGAAAAAGCUUACCAUGCCACUCGGUAGGAGAUAGGGCAUACAUCUCCCUCAUCAUAUGUAUGCAUGCACGUCAAUAUAGGGUCAUGUGUAUCUCUUAAAUUGCAGGAUGAAGAUGAAUUCUUCGGUUUACAUUGAUGCUUUCCAUUGCACCAAUCGAUGUUCCUCUCCACGUUAUUUUGUUUCUUCAGUCAAAUUAUUCUCUGGUUAACAACUAAUGAAAAUGUAAGGAUAGAAUAUUCACGUAAUAUGUUACAUAAUUUAUACUAUAAUAUUUUAUCAUUGUUAACGGCACAAUUUGAUAAAAAGAUAAAAAAGAAAUCAUUUUAUUAUAUUAUGUGUAAAAUACAUGAAAAGAAAAGAUUACAAAUUUUAUUUGAUUACAUUACUGCAGAACUUACAAAAAUAAUUAUAGAAGCAUGGCUAAUGAUUAUAGGUAUUAUUUGGAUAGAUAUUUUUCUCAUUUUUCUUGUUUGACUGGUUGUAACUUGUCUUCAAAUUUUGAUAUCCACCAAAAAACUAUCCAAGAGCUUGAUUGUUUUAGAUAGUCAUUCAACAGCUUGACUGACUUUAUAUUUGUCUGUGCAACAAAUUUGAAAAUUUUUUUUAAAAAAGUCAAUAUUGAAUUUUAGACAUGCAUAAAUAGCAUAAUUUUUUAUUAUGCAGUGAAAAUAUAUGUAUAAAGUAUGAGGAAAGAUCUACUUAUACCGGUAUAAAAUUAAAUUAGUUUUACACUUUUUCAUGUCUUUUUAUUUCAUUUAUAUUUUGUUAAUCUAACCGUUCAUUUUAUGUUUUAUUCAUAUAAAUAUUCAUAGAUAGCAAAUUUCAAGUUAAUUGGAAAUGACUAACUACAUAUUUGAGAAAAAUAAAAUUUCAAUCAUUAAAUAUAUAUUGAAAAAAGGCAUUAUUCUCGGUUGAUGUAAUAAGAAUGUUGAAUUAAUAUGAGACUUUACGUGUAUGAUAAAUGCGAAUAAGUUGUUAAAUGUAAUGAUUCUAUUUGUUAAAAUAUUAAUUCCCUAAGAAGUUAUAGAAAAAUGUAAAGUACUUAGUUUUAGAGAUACAAGGCGAUUCCUCUUGGCCGGUAUAAAGUAUUGCUAUUUAGGCUUUUGUGUGCAAUUUUUUUUCAUAGCUAAUUGUUGUUGAAAGUGUGCAAUCUUUACUACUGUAUGCAUGUAAUAUUUUUGUCCAAAAUAUUAGCAAAAAAAAUGUUUUGAACUGUGAACUCCGUAAAAGUUCUAUACAAAAGGAUUUUAAACAACAAUAGUUAAAGAAAAAAAAUAAAUAAAUGAAAAUUUAAUUAUUAUAGUGUGUUUUUUCCACUUGUUCAAAGUAAGAUUUGAUUUCAAUUGCAGCCCUAGAUAUAAUCAGCAAAGCAAUGAAGCUAACAUUAUCCAAAGAUUUAAUGUUUCUCGUUAAACUUUUUUAUAUAUAAUUCUCCAAAGAAAAAUACAGUUUUAUACUUAAAAAAUAAAUGUAAAAUAUGAAAUUGAUCAAAUUUUUUCAGAAUUAUUAUUUUAUAUAUCUUGAAAUUUUGAAAUUCCAAAAUUUAUAAUAUUGUUUAAGUCAUAUUAUAUAUAUUAUUGAGGGUUUAUAGUAAUAUCCCUACUGUGUAGAUUUACUUGGAUGAAUUGCAAAGAUUUCUUUUCCAUCAGUGCCGCUACGUACCAAUUUGUUAGGUACACGGAUUUUCUUCUUUCUUGUUUGUUUGCGUGGAAAAUCAUCAAAAAGCUCUAUGACAGGCUUGUCGUUAAAGGUGUUUUGCGGGUUGGGUUUAAUUAGUUGACUGACUUUUCAAAAGAAGACUUGGUUUUAACAAUAAAUGUAAGAACUGCUUCACUUGCCUCUAUCAAAACGAGGACCUUAAUCUCCCACUGAAACUUUAGGAUGCUUAGCGUCAUACUUCCAUUACUUUGCCUCUUGGUUUGGCUUCAGUGCAAAUCUCCAAUCCAGUCGUUACAAAAAAAGACAAGUACUGUGGCUUUUCUUUCUGUGGAAACAUUAACAUCACUUACCCUUUUCGAUUAAAAAACCAGCCUCGUAGUUGUGGUUACAAUAGGUUUGAACUAGUGUGCCAGAAUAACCGCACCAUUUUCCCCAGGAAAUAUGGGAAUUUCUAUGUCCAACACAUCUCUUAUAGUGACGAAACCAGCCGACUUUUAGACGAGAGUCUUGGCAACGACAACUGCUCUAUUCCUCAUAGUACCUAUCCUCGGUCCACCCCUUCUGCAAAAAAACUAUAUCCCUGGCGUACCUUUUCAUGGGAAGAAAGAAAUUUCUAUCAAACUACCCCUGAAUUUAGCGUCAUGUAUCUCAUAAAUUGCACGAUGCAGAUCAACUACUCUUCCGUUUAUAUCGAUGCUUUUCGUUGCACCAAUACCCCUUCCUCCUCUCAACCUCCGUACUUUUACUUUUUGGAUGAAAAUACAGCACCGUCUGAUUUCCAUGAGUCAUGCACUGUUGAAGCCCAAGUUCCAAUCAUGGUUGCCAGUAUCAUCGGCCUCUCUACUUUUGAUAUUUACACAAAGCUGUUAACGGGAUUCCAACUCUCAUGGUUCACUUCCUCUUAUGAUUAUGUUUGGCUGCGGUGGGACUCAAUUGUUAACGUGUGAGGAUUUUUAAGUAUUCCGCAAUAUUUGGUGUUGUUUCGUUUUUGAAAAAUAUUUAUUAUUAUUAAUUUUUUUUGGAUCGUAAUAUUUAUUAUUUUUAGCAUACAUAAAUAUGAUAAAAAAACAAAUAUCAAAAUAUUUAGUUUUGAAUUCUUUUAAACUACUUUUUUAAUUAUGUGUAUAAAUUUGUAUCUAAAAUUUAAACUCGAUAUUUUAAUGUAAAAUUUAAAGAGAAGGAAUUAAGACAUUUUCAACACUAAAAGUGCGCAUAUCAUUUGCCUUAUUAAGGAUUAAUGGUUUUGAUGUGCUUUUUUGAAUAUUAAUUAUAGAUUGCUAUUCUUGCUCAAGCUGUGGUCGGUUCUGCCGAAGAUACUUGUACAAGGCAACAUAGCUUUUUUUGAACCAGAUUCUAUCGAUGGAUUUAGUAAAUGUAUUCUUUCGGUUCUGAGUUCAUUAAUAUUUUGAUUAUUAUUGGAUUUGCCUUUACUUUGAUAGAAUCUAUUUUCAUUUAUUUUCUGAUUUGGUAAUAUCUUUGCAGGAAUCCAGAUUCUUUGUGUUGCAAUAACAGGUACUAAAUUCUAUACUUAUUUAUUUACUCUUAAAUUCUACAAUUAUUAUAAUGUAUGACAUCAAUAAAUAUAUUAUUAUAUAAAUGGAUUAAAAAAUUAUUAAAUUAUUUAAAAAAUUCCUAAACUAUUUUACAACAAUUCCAAUAAGCUUUUCUUAAUUUUUAUUGCAUUCAAUCAAGCUAUUAUAUUUUUAUUUUGAACCAAAUAAACCCUUCUAAGUAACAGUUAACUAAUGUUAUUAGUUCAAAUGUCACUUGUUAUUUCAUACUCAUGUGACAUUGAUAUGAUGCUGACAUGGAGGAUGAAAAUGCCACAUAACCAUGUCAUAAUGCCAUAUACUCUGAUAUGUCAACAUAAUAUAUCCAUGUCAUAUGAUAUAAAAUAACAAAUGGUAUUUUGAUUAAUAACAGUUAGUUAACCAUUAGUUAUAAUGACUUAUUUGGUUCAAAAUAAAUGUUUAAGAGCUUGAUCAUACACAAUAAAAGAAUGAGAGUUUAUUUGAAUUUUUCUAAAUAGCUCAAGAAAUUUUUAAGUAUUAUGCAUUUUUGUGUGUGCGUGUGUGUAUAUGUACCAGUGUGAAAUUAAUUAAAUUUACACCUUUUCAUAUUUUUUAUAAGAUUUAUAUUUUGUUAAUUUAACCGGUGUAUUCCAUAUAUACUCAAUUUACAUAGAUCAUGCAUAAAAAAUUUUAAAUCAAUUGAAAAUAUCUAAUUAUUUGUAUAAUAAUAAUAAAAUUUUAACCAUUAAAUAUAUAUUUAAAAAACAAUAUUCUCUACCAAUGUGAUAUGGAUAUUGCACUGACUUGAAACUUUUUAUGUACGAUUGGAUGCAAAUAAAGUUAGCUUGCUAAAACUUAAUUGUAUAUGAAAUUAUAAAAUGGUGUAUAUAUAUAUAUAUAUAUGAGUAUUGCAUAUAUGUAUAUGUAUGUAUAAAGAGAUUCAAUAAAGGAUAAAAUAAUUAAAUAAGAGAAGAUCUACUAUAAAUUAUUCAUAAAUAAUAUUGAACUACAUUAAUUAGGUUUUUUUAGUAAGGUAUUUUUAUUUUGUUACGAUGUUUUUUGGUCAAAAUAAAAAUUAUGUCCAAAUUUAACAUUUUACUUUGGUGAUAGACCAAAUUAUGAUCAUAUUUAAAUGAGAAUAAUUGGCACUAUACUUUUAAAUUGGUUAAAAAUGAUCAAAAGUUAUGAAAUAAACUCAAAAGUACAAUAAUGAAAGUUACACUCAUUCAAAAAUGAAUAGUAAAUUUAAUCCAUCAUUUUUUUUAAAAGGUGAAUUUUUAUUAACCUCAACACUAUCAUGCCAUUUUGAUUCUCAAGCUUAGAUUGCAAGAGACUCUCAUGACAUAAAUAGUUAGUAAGCAGCCUGUACAAUUUCCAAAAAGAAUAUGCUACUCAAUAAGAUUUUGGUAGCAACUCAGGAUAAAGAAACUAACGUACCUUAAGCAGAUUGGUGGUAAAUUUGAACCUUAUCUCAAAUUAUUCUAUGAAGUUUGUUUGUGAAAAUAUGGCAGCUAGCACAUGCCCAAAUUAAAGUUGUAAAUAACAUAUACAUGUUCUAUAAUCAUGUUUUCCAACUAAUUGAUUUACAUAUUGUUUUGUAUUUUUUUUUUUUUGAGAAACAGGAAUUCUUUUGCUAAGAACUUUUUUGGGAAUAAUUUGCUUGAUUGUGCUGGUUAGACGAAAAUUAAAAAGGAGGCAUUUGUCGAUGGAUGACGUGAUUGAGAAUUUUCUUCAGAGUCAAAACAAUUUAAUGCCUAUAAGAUAUUCUUACUCUGAAAUAAAAAGAAUGACUGAUGGUUUCAAGAAUAAACUUGGUCAAUGAGGAUAUGGCUCUGUGUUUAAAGGAAAACUUUGACGUGGUCAACUUGUUGCGAUAAAAUUGUUAAACAAGUCAAAAGCUAACGGCCAAGAUUUCAUCAAUGAAGUUGCAACUAUUGGAAGGAUUCAUCAUGUUAAUGUGGUAAGACUUAUUGGAUUUUGCGUGAAGGGAUCAAAACAAGCUCUUGUAUAUGACUUCAUGAAGAAUGGGUCCUUGGAUAAAAUUAUAUUUUCAACUGAAAAUAACACUUUGAGUUGGCAAAAAAUGUUUGAGAUUGAAUUGGGAGUGGCUCGAGGUAUUGAAUAUUUGCAUAGAGGUUGUGAAAUGCAAAUUUUACAUUUUGAUAUCAAGCCACAUAACAUUCUUCUAGAUGAGAACUUUACUCCAAAAGUUUCAGAUUUUGGCCUCGCAAAGUUGUAUUCAGUGGAUGAUGAUAUUAUUUCUCUCACAGCAGCACGAGGUACAGUAGGAUAUAUGGCUCCUGAAUUGUUUUAUAAAAAUCUCGGAGGUAUCUUAUAUAAAGCCGAUGUUUAUAGUUUUGGAAUGAUGCUAAUGGACAUUAUUGGAAAAAGAAAAAAUUUGAAUGCCUCUGCUGAACAUUCAAGUCAAAUUUAUUUUCCAUCAUGGAUUUAUGAUUGAUUAGACGAAGGAGAUAUCAUGGAGCUUGGAGAUUUGAUAGAAAAUGAAAACAAAAUUAUGAGGAAAAUGGUAAUAGUAGCCUUAUGGUGCAUACAGAUGAAGCCUAUAUGGAUCGUCCUUCAAUGAGCAAAGUCUUGAAUAUGCUUGAAAGUGAAGUUGAGCUCCUUGAAAUGCCUCCAAAGCCUUCUUUCUUUGGAAAUGUCAACUAAAGAUAGUAAGAAUUCUCCCCGCACAUGUGGCAAUCGGCCUUCCUCAACUAUCUCGUGAUAUUCGUCAUUGGGACACCACUCAACAUCAUGAUCUUGCUAAAACUGACAACUUCUUCUGUAUUUAGUUUUUUGAGUGGUACGUAGUUUUUGUUUCCACCUAGAUCUAGUAGGCAGUGUUUGUAAUUUCUCUACUACCUUGGUUUGUUUUGUUUCUGCUACUUCUUUAUUUCCCUAUAUGUGACCUCUGAUGGAAUAAAUCAUUUCCUCACUUGUAAAAAAAUUGUAAGAAAAUGCAAUUUUAUGUUUCCCUUAUUUUAUACUGUCACGGCCCAAACCCGAGGCACGACAGACGCCACAUACCUAUAAGAUGUAAUCUUACAAACAUGCAAGGCUCCAAUACAUAUACCUUAUAACACUAAUUGAAAGAGACUAAAAUACCUGAAGAACAUAGUGAUUCAUAAUCGGUAGAAAUUCAAAAGAUCAUAAUUCGACAAUUUUUAGAAUUAAGUCUCUAAAACUAUAAAGCUAACAUGUCAAGAUAAAACUCUGAAUACUAAUUUAAGAUAGUUUGAUGUUCAUAAUAUUUAAAUAAAUCCUAGACAACCUAAAUGCUACUAGAUUAAAACAUCACUCCUCGAAAUUCUCACGUAGUUGACCAAAUCACAAUCUGAAAAAAAAAUUAAAGGAAGGAGUGAGUCCAACUACUCAGCAAGUAACUAACAUCUCACUUCAUACUACAAAAGGCCUUAAAGAAAUUAUCAAAAAUGUUAUCGGAAUAUGGAGUUCCGAUGACCCAAAUUUAGGUUGUGAAAAUAGUUGAAAACCAGGUUUCCAAUUAAUUUUAAAAAUUCAUAUUUUCCAAACCACAAAACCAAACGAGAUGCUACAAAAACCAUUGAAAAGAUCUUUUCAAGACCUUUCCAUUGGUACCCAUCAUGCCAUCGAAAAGUCACCAGAAUAGUACCGGAUUUGAAUAAAAGUUAAGAAAACAUAAAUAAUUUAGGGUUUUUGUGCCCAACUAUGAAAAUACAACCCUAAACAUACCUUAAUCAACACUCUCUUGAAUACUUUUCUCUUUUUUCUAUGUUGCUUCUUCCAUGGUAUUAAGCUUUCUUGACUGCCUAUCGUUUGAGUCUGAUGAAAUAAACUGACAUGAGUUUUCUGCCUUUUCUUUUAAACUUGUAAACUAACCUAACCUCCACUAUCUUUUUUUUUUAAAAUGUGAUUUAGUGAGUUGUGGUCAGGUAAAACAAACUGACCUUAACCCCACUAACUUAAACAUGAUAAAUAAAACCAACAUUAAUUAAACUUCCUUAUUUACUUAAAGACCUUUUUUCUAUUUUUUUAAUUAUUAAGGCACUCAAGGUUAUAAUUGCAAUUAAAUAAAAUACUAAAACAACAUUUACUUAUUUAUUUUUAUAAAACUAUAGCUUAAUAAAUCUAAAUAUUUUUAUAAUAUAUACUUUGUGAUGGGUAUCACAUCCUCCCCUCCUUAAAAAGGAGUUUAGUUCCUUAAACUCUUACCUUGGUCCUAAAAAGGUGGGGAUACUUCUUUUCGAUAUUUUCUUAUAAAUCCCAAGUCGUUUCUCGUUCUGUAUGGUUACUCCGUUUGACCUUAACAUAAAGAAUAGUUCACCUUCUUAGAACUUGCUCUUUUCUAUCCACAAUACGUAUAGGAUGCUCAUCAUAGGACAAAUCUUCUCUAAGUCUCAAAGGAGCUACUUCCACCACAUGACUAAGAUCUGGAACAUAUUUUCUCAACAAAGAAACAUGAAACAUGUUAUGCACUCCCGAUAGAGUAGGUGGAAGUGCCAACCUAUAAGCCACAUCACCAACCUUAUCCAAAAUCUCAAAUCAACCCACAUAACGAGGACUAAGUUUUCCUCGAAUCCCAAAUCGCAAUACUCCUCUAGUAAGUAAAACUAGCAAAAAGACAUGAUCUCUAACCUUAAAUUUUAUCUUCCUUCUUUUAUUGUUUGUAUAACUCUUCUGUCUACUUUGAGUCGUACGAUGAUGUUCUCUAACUAACUGAACCUUCUCAACUGCUUGUUGAAUAAGAUCUAGACCUAAUAACUGUCUUUCACCCACAUCAUCCCAACAAAGAGGUGACCUGUACUUCUUACCAUACAAAGCUUCGAAUGAAGCCAUUUGGAUACUAGGCCGAUAGCUAUUAUUAUAAGCAAAUUUCGUCCAUGACAAGUGUCGAUCCCAAGAACCUCCAAAAUCCAUGACACAAGCUCUCAACAUGUCCUUAAGAAUUUAAUUAAUUGUCUCGGACUGACCAUCUGUUUGGAGAUGAAAAGUAGUACUAAAAUUAAGUCUAGUUCCCAAAGAUUUAUGCAGACUCUCCCAAAAUUUCACCACAAAUCGAGAAUCUCAAUCAUAUACAAUAAACACUAGCACCCCAUGCAGUCUCACAAUCUGCUCCACAUAUAACUCCGCUAACUUUUCCAAUGAUAUUUUCGUACGAAUAGCCAAAAAGUGAGCAGACUUUGUUAAUCUAUCAACAAUCACCUAGAUGCCAUCAUUACCUUUUAGUGUUCUCGACAAACCUGAUAUAAAGUCCAUAGUAAUUCAUUCCCAUUUCCAUUCUGGAAUAGGAAAGGGUUGCAAUAACCCUACUGGCCUCUGAUGUUCAACCUUAACUUGUUGACAUGUCAGACAUUUGGCUAAAAACUAUGCAAUCUCUCUCUUCAUAUUGUUCUACCAAAAAGUGUUCUUCAAAUCUCUAUACAUCUUGGUACCACCAAAAUGGAUUGUACAAUUACUAUAAUGAGCUUCCAACAAAAUUUCUCUCUUCAAUUCUGCAUCAUUGGGAAUACAAAUUCUAUUACCAAACCUCAAAGAGUCAUCAUCAUGAAUCCUAAAGUCUGGUUUCAAACCAGAUUCAACCCCAAGUUUAAUGUGCUAAAGUCGAAGAUCAUCUACUUGGGCUAUCUUAAUCCAGUGAAUUAAAGUUGGUUGUACUUGUAUGUUAGCCAAUAAUGCUCCAAAACCCUGUAUACAUACACCAAUAUUCAUCCUCCGUAAGUCCUCUAAAAUCUGUUUUUGGGAAGUAAUCAUUACGACCAUGUUCCCAGACGUCUUUCUACUUAGAGCAUCAGCAACUCUAUUUGCCUUACCUGGGUGAUAAUUGAUGGUCAAGUCAUAAUCCUUUGAUAAUUCUAGCCAUCUUCUUUGUCGCAUAUUCAACUUCUUCUGCGUGAAAAGAUAUUUCAAACUUUUAUGAUCUGUAAAGACCUCACAAGACUCUCCAUAUAAAUAGUGUCUUCAAAUUUUUAAUGCGAAAACCACUGUUGCCAAAUCUAAAUCAAGAGUAGGAUAAUUCUCUUCAUAAGGUUUCAACUGUCUAGAAGCCUAAGCGAUCACCUUAUCAUCCUGCAUAAGAACACACCCAAGUCUCUUUUUGGAAUCAUCACUAUAAACAACAAAUCCCUUACCACUAGUAGGCAUGGUAUGUAUGGGAGCGAAUACUAAUUUUUUCUUUAACUCCUUAAAGCUCUUUUCACAAUCGUUUGUCCACUCAAAAUGAAUCUCUUUCCAUACCAAUCUGGUUAAAAGUAAGGCAAUACGAGAAAAUCCUCCACAAAUCGCCUAUAGUAUCCUACUAAACCCAGAAAACUACGAAUCUCAUCAACAUUAUGUGGUCUCUUUCAAUUCACCACUGCUUCAACUUUCUUUGAAUCCAUCGAAAUCCCAUCUUUCGACACCACAUGCCCAAGGAAAGCAACACUAGAAAGCCAAAAUUCACAUUUCUUCAAUUUAGCAAAUAACUGUUUCUGCCUCAAAGUCUUCAAAACAACCCUUAGAUGCUCUUUAUGAUCUGCUGAGUUAGAGGAAUACACUAGAAUAUCAUCAAUAAAAACAACCACAAACUUAUCCAAAUAAGGUUUAUAAACCCUAUUCAUCAAGUCCAAAAAAGUAGCCGGAGCAUUUGUCAACUCAAAAGGCAUAUCAAGGAACUCAUAAUGCCCAUAUCGGGUACAAAAAGCAGUUUUGGGAACAUCCUCAAUUCUCACCUUCAAUUGGUGAUAACCAGAUUGAAGAUUAAUUUUGGAAAACACUUGAGCGCCCUUUAGUUGAUCAAAUAAAUCAUCUAUUCGAGGCAAAGGAUACCUAUUCUUCAUGGUUGCCUUAUUUAACUCCCGAUAAUCAAUGCACAACCUCACACUCCCAUCCUUUUUCUUCACAAAUAACAAUGGCGCUCCCCAAGUAGAUACACUAGGUCUAAUAAAGCCCUUAUCAAGAAGUUUUUGCAACUGCUCUUUCAACUCUUUUAAUUCUAUAAGAGCCAUUCUAUAAGGAGCUUUAGAAAUCGAGCCAGUUCUUGGAACCAAAUCAAUAGAGAAAUCAAUUUCCCUAUUAGGAGAUAAACUAGGUAGAUUUUUAAGAAAAACAUUAGGAAAUUCCCCCAUAAUAAGAAUCUCUUUAAUCAUUAACUUCUUCAUUCUAUUGUCUAUACUAGCUGCCAAAAAUCCUUUGCAACCACUAGUAAGCAAUCACCUAGCUUUCAAAGCAAAGAUGACUCAUAAAAAAGUGUAAGGACCACUACCACGAAAACAAACAGGUGUUUCUCCAGGAAUCUCAAAGUCUACCCUUUUCCCUCGAUAGUCAACUUUAACAAAAUUUACAACCAACCAAUCCAUCCCUAGAAUUACAUCAAAAUCUUACAUAUCUAAAACAUGAAGAUAUGCAAGCAAUUCUCUAUCUUCAAUCCAUACCACACACAUCUUACAAAUCUGAUAUGAGAUAAUAUCAUCUCUAACUGGAGUGUCUACGCAUAGUUCAUAAUCCAGAAGCAUACAAGGCAAAGCAAACUUUUGAACAAAUGUAGCAAAUACAAAAGAACGAGAUGCAUCGGUAUCAAACAAUACAUAAGCAAAAGCUGAGGCAACUAGCAAUGAACUUGAGACAACGGUGUUGGAUGCCUCUACAUCAGACUGAGUGAUAGCAUAAGCACGGCCCUAGGUGCAAGGUCUUCCCACUUUUUGAUGUUCAGAAAAAGGUGUUUGCGUAGUCUAAACAACAUGAGUGGGUUGAGUCCUUUGCGUUGUAGUUUCAAAGGUUCAAGAGUUUUGUGGCCUUUACACAGAUUAAGAUUCUUGAAGGACUAAAGGACAAUCAGCAAUACAAUGGCCCUGUUGUCCACCUCUAAAACAAGCACCAGUUACAUGCCUACAUUUAGCAGCUCGAUGUUCUCCACCACACACUGAACACCUAGGCUUUUGUGCGCAAACUAUGAAAAUACAACCCUAAAUAUACCUUAAUCAGCAAUCCCUUGAAUACUUUUUCUUUUUUUCUGUCUUUCUUCUUCCUUGGUGUUAAUCUCUUCUUACUACCUAUCGUUUGAGCCCGCUGAAAUAAACUGACAUGAGUUUUCUGCUUUUUCUUUUAAAAUUGUAAACUAACCUAACUUCCACUAUCUUUUUUUUUUAAACAUGAUUUAGUGAGUUAUUGUUAGGUAAGAUAAACUGACCUUAACCCCACUAACUUAAACGUGAUAAAUAAAACUGACAUUAAUUAAACUUUUUUAUUUACUUAAAGAUCCCUUCUUCUAUUUUUUAAUUAUUAAGGCACCAAAAGUUAUAACUGCAAUUAAAUAAAAUACUAAAAGAACAUCUACUUAUUUGUUUUUAUAAAACUAUAGCUUAAUAAAUCUAAAUGUUUUUAUAGUAUAUACCUUGUGAAGGGUAUUACAUAUACAAAGAAAAUAUGUGAUAUCUUAUAUUUAUAUUUUUAUGUAUGUACGUAUCUAUAGUAUUAGUUGUUUAAACCUUUUGGGUGCAAUUCAUUUUCAUAUAUAAUUAACAGCUUUUAUAAAACUGCAGUGUUUGUGACCAUAUAUGCAUGUAAAUCUCUCUUUAACUGCAAUUGUUUUUUGUCCAAAAUACUUCUAAAAAAAGAUUGUAUAGAGCAGCCAAAUUUGAAAUAAAAUAUUUUUAAUAACACAAGUUAAAAAAAUUAAAUGCCUUAGUUCUUAGUCAAUCUUUCUUUUUAAACUUUUUAUACAUAUAAAAAAAAUCUAAAAUAUGGACUGAUUAGUCCUUUUAGACUUAAUAGAUCGACGGUGAAAUUUUAAGACUACACAAUAAAUUUAUAGGAGUACUCGAAUGAUUUUAUUUAUAUCUUAUUGGAGGCUUAUAUUAAUCUCUCAACUCAGACAAAUUACGAAGUAAGAUUCUUUUUAUGUCAGUUUCGUUACCAAUCAGUUGCAUACUAUAUUUCUUCACUUAUUUCUGUUUUAGUAGAAAAUCAGCUGAGAGCUAUGAUUGGCUUUGUGUUAAAGUGGUUGGCUUUAGUUAGUUGACUUGACUGACUUUUCGAACGAAGACAAGUGAGCAGGAAUAACCGCACCAUUUUCCCCAUGAAGUAAGAGAAUUUCUGUAAAAGUUAUAUGCAAAUGGAUUUUUAAAAACACAAGUUGAUGAAAAAAUUAAUAAAUGCAAAUUUAAUUAUUAUAUUGUGUUUUUUCCACUUGUUCAAAGGAAGAUUUGAUUUCAAUUGCAGCCACAGAAAUAAUUAGCAAAGCAAUAAAGAUAACAUUAUCCUAACUCUUUUUUAAUCUUCCUCGUUAAACUGUUUUAUACAUAAUAUUUAAAAAAAAAUGACUUUUUUAUACUUACAAAAAAUAAAUAUAAGAUAUGGAAAUUGAUUUUUUUUUUGAAGAGGAAAUUGAUCUAUUUUAUUUAAAUUAUAUUUUAUAUAUUUGUGAUGAAAUUUUGAAAUUCCAAAUUUUAUAACACUAUUUAAGCGAUUAAAUAUAUAUUUAUUUAUUGAGGGGUUAUAUUAAUCUCCCUACUGUGCAGAUAUACUUGGAUGAAUUAGAAAGAUUUCUUUUCUGUUAGUUUCGCUACCAAUUGGUUUUAACAGAUUUUCUUCUUUCUUGUUUGUUUGCGUGGAAAAUCACCCAAGGGUCAUUGAGUACUAUUAUAGGCUUUGUGUUAAACGUGUUCUGAGGCUUGGGAUUUAAUUUGUUGAUUGACUUUUCAAAAGAAGACUUGGUUUUAACAAUAAGUCUAGGAGAAGAUCGUAGUGCUUCUUCACAAACUAAUUAAGCCCUUAAUCUCCUUCUCUCCCCUGAAAUUUUGGGAUAAUAAGAUCAAAGCUUCCAUUAUUCGGCCUUCUGGCCCUUGCUAUAACUCUAUUCCCUGAUGCAUGCAUCGCUAGAGGCAAACACAAGCACUGUGGCUCUUCUUUCUGUGGAAACAUUAACAUCACUUACCCUUUUCGAUUAAAAAGUCAGCCUCGAAGUUGUGGUUACAAUCGUUAUGAACUAGUAUGCGAGAAUAACCGCACCAUUUUGCCCAUGAAACAUGGGAAUUUCUAUGUCCAACACAUCUCUUUUAGUGACCAAACCUUUCAACUGUUAGACGUGAGUCUUGACAAGCAUAACUGCUCCAUUCCUCAUAGUUCCUGUCAUUGGGCCAGCGUUUGUCCCAAAAAACUAUAUGAUUGGUCCAUCCCUUCUGCGGUAAAACUAUAUCCUUGGCGCCCCUUUUCAGCGGAAGAAAUAAAUUUCUAUCAAACUAUCCCUGAAUUUAGAGUCAUGUAUCUCGUAAAUUGCAUGAUGCAGAUCAACGACUCUUGGGUUUAUAUCGAUGCUUUUCGUUGUACCAAUACCCUUCCUCUCGACCUCCUUAUUUUUACUUUUUGGAUGGAAAAACAGCACCGUCUGAUUUCCAUGAGUCAUGCACAGUUGAAGCCCGGGUUCCAAUCAUGGUUGCCAACAUCACCUUCCUCUCUACUUUUGAUAUUUACACAAAGCUGUUAGCGGGAUUCCAACUCUCAUGGUCAACUUCCUAUUAUCAUUAUGUUUCGCUGCGGUGGGACUCAAUUGUUAACGUGUGAGGGUUUUUAAGUAUUCCGCAAUAUUUGGUGUUGUUUAGCUUUUGAAAAAUAUUUAUUAUUUUUAGCACAAAUAUGAUAAAUAAAUAAAUAUAAAAAAAAUUUAGUUUUUAAUUCUUUUUUAAAAAUUUAAAUAUUUUUAAAUUACAUUUUUUAGUAUGUAUAUAAAUCUGUAUUUUAUUCAUUCUAAAAUUUAAACUCGAUAUUUUUUUUAAAAUUAGAAUCGCAAUUUUUUAUUAAUGUAGUGUCUACUUCAGACUUUAAUUAUUUACUUUUACUCUAAAUAUGUUUAAUGUAAAAUUUAAACAGAAGGAUUUAAAACAUUUUCAACAGUAAAAGUGCUAAUUUCAUUUGCCUUAUUAAGAAUUAACGUUUUUUAUUUGGUUUUUUGAAUAUUCAUUAUAGAUUGCUAUCCUUGCUCCAACUGUUGUUGCUUCCGCUGGCGAUAUAUAUAAAAAGCAACCUGGAUUUUCUGCGGGGCACCUUAACAGAGGAUAGUUUAGUUCCUAAUAAAGGUGUUCUUUCUUUCUGAGUUCAUUACUAUUUUGAUUAUUAUUUGGUUUGCCUUUACUUUCUUGUAUAGUAUCUAUAUAUUAACACUUAAUUUUCGAAUUGGUGAUAUCUUAGCAGGAAUCCGGAUUCCUUGUGUUACAAUAACAGGUACUAAAUUCUACACUUAUUUAUUUACUCUGAAAUUCUAGAGUUGUUACAAUGUACGACAUCGUAAUGUAGUAGGAAUCUAAGAUUCAGAUUUACAUUUGUAAUUUAUUAUUAUAAUAAUACAUAUAUUAAAAAAUUCAAAUAAUUUUUUUUAUUUCGUUCAAUCAAAUCAUCAUAUUUUAUUUUGAUUCAAAUAAACUUUUAUAAUUAACGGUUGACUAAUUGUUAUUAUUUCAAAUGUCACUUGUCAUUUUAUAUUCACGUGAUGUUGAUAUGAUACUGACAUGGAAGGUAAAAAUAGCACGUAAUUAUGUCAGCAUGUCACAUACUAUGACAUGUAAACAUGAUAUAUUAACGUCACAUGACAUAAAAUGACAAAUGACAUUUUAAUUAAUAACAGUUAGUUAACUAUUGAUUAUAACAAUUUAUUUGUUCCAAAAUAAAUGUUUAAUACUUGAUCAAACACAAUGAAAGAAUAAAAUUUAUUCAAAUUUUUUUAAGUAUUAUAUAUAUAUAUAUAUAUAUAUAUAUAUAUAUAUAUAUAUCAGUGUCAAUUAGUUAAAUUUACACCUUUUCAUAUUUUUUAUAUGAUUAAUAUGUUGUUACUUUCACUGUUGUAUUCCAUAUAUGCUCAAUUUACAUAGAUCAUGCAUGAAAAAUUUUAAAUCAAUUGAAAAUAUCUAAUUAUUUAUAUGAUAACAAUAAAAUUUUAACUGCUAAAUAUAUAUUAAAAAAUAAUAUUCUCUACCACUGUGAUACGGAUAUAUAUUACACUCCUUGAAACUUUAUAUGUACGAUUGGAUACAAAUAAAGUUAGCUUGCUAAAACAUAAAUGUAUAUUAAAUUAUAAAAUGGUGUAAAACUUAAUCAAUGUGUAACUUGAGCCCUCAUAUAUAUAUAUAAAAUUUUUAUGAGUAUUGCAUACAUGUGUAUGUAUGUAUAAAAGAGAUUCAAUAAAGGAUAAAAUAAUUAAAUAAAAGAAGAUCCACUGUAAAUAAUUCAUAAAUAAUAUUGAACUACAUUAAUGUUUUUUAGUCAAAAUAAAAAUUAUGUCCAAAUUUAUCAUUUUACUUUGGAUGAUGGACCAAAUUAUGAUCAUAUUUGAAUGAGUAUAAUUUUGUCACUAUACUUUUAAAUUGGUUAAAAAUAAUUAAAAGUUAUGAAAUAAACUAAAAAGUACAAUAAUAAAAAUUACACCUAUUCAAAAAUGAAUACUAAAUUUGAUCCAUCAUGUUAAGUAGAUUGGUCCUUUCAAAAAAAAUGUUAAGUAGAUUGGGGGUAAAUUUGAACCUUAUCUCAAACUACUCUGUGAAGUUUGUUUGUGAAAAUAUGGCAGCACAUACCCAAAUUAAAUUAGUAAAUAACAUAUACAUAUUCUAUAAUCAUGUUUUUCAAUUUUUUUUGUUUUUUCUCACCCAAGAAAAAGGUGUAUUAAAUCAAUAAAAGUACAAGAUUGGUGUAUUAAAUCAUGGUGUCCAACUAAUUAAUUUAUAUAUUGUUAUAUAUUUUUUGUUGUGAAACAGGAAUGAUAUUACUAAGAACAUUUUUGGGGAUAACUUGCUUGAUUAUAUUGGUUGUACGCAAAUUGAAAAGGAGGCAUUUGUCGAUGGAUGACAUGAUUGAGAAUUUUCUUCAAAGUCAAAACAAUCUAAUGCCUAUAAGAUAUUCUUAUUUUGAAAUAAAAAGAAUGAUGGAUGGUUUCAAGAAUAAAUUAAGACAAGGAGGAUAUGGCUCUGUGUUUAAAGGAAAACUUCGAAGUGGUCAACUUGUUGCGACAAAAUUGUUAAACAAAUCAAAAGCUAAUGGCCAAGAUUUCAUCAAUGAAGUUGCAACUAUUGAAAGAAUUCACCAUGUUGAUGUGGUAAGACUUGUUGGAUUUUGCGUGAAGGGAUCAAAACAAGCUCUUGUAUAUGACUUCAUGCAGAAUGGGUCCUUAGAUAAAAUUAUAUUUUCAACUGAAAGUAACACUUUGAGCUGGCAAAAAAUGUUUGAGAUUGCAUUGUGAGUGGCUCAAGGUAUUGAAUAUUUACAUAGAGGUUGUGAAAUGCAAAUUUUACAUUUCGAUAUCAUGCCACAUAACAUUCUUCUAGAUGAGAAUUUUAUCUCAAAAUUUUCAAAUUUUGGCCUUGCAAAGUUGUAUUCAGUGGAUGACAAUAUUGUCUCUUUUACAGCUACAAGAGGUACAUUAGGUAUAUGGCUCCUGAAUUGUUUUAUAAAAUAUUAGAAGCAUCUCAUAUGAAGCCGAUGUUUAUAGUUUUGGAAUGAUGUUAAUGGAAAUUGUCGGAAGGAAAAAAAAUGUGAAUGUCUCUGCUUAACAUUCAAGUCAAAUUUAUUUUCUAUCAUGGAUUGAUGAUCGACUUGAAGAAGGAGAUAUCAUAGAGCUUGGAGAUGUUACAGAGAAUGAAAACAAAAUUAUGAGGAAAAUGGUAAUAGUAGCCUUUUGGUGCAGAGAGAUGAAGCCCGCAGAUCGUCCUUCAAUGAGCAAAGUCUUGGAGAUGCUUGAAAGUGAAGUUGAGCUCCUUGAAAUGCCUCCCAAGCCUGCUUUCUCUUGAAAUGUCAACCAAAUCAUUUAGUGUUGAAUCAUAAGUAAUAUUUAAUAUUGUAUGUUAAGCAAUGUUUCACUACUUUAUUAUACUACUUUUAUAAUUUUUAUAGUAGAAACCUUAAGCUUGAGGCAUAAUCUUCUCUCUUCCUAAAAAAACAAAAAAAAAAAAACAAUAUAGAAUGGUGACGAAGAAUGUAUAUCAAGGAAAAAAGGAUAUUGAGUUGGAGUUUCGAGUGUGUGAAGGUGUUAUUUUAAGAGAGUUGUAAUGGUAUCUUGUAAGUAUUUUGCCUAUAUAAAAAGUCUUUUUGCUCAUAUAAAGGAUAAAGUCUUUAAAUACCAUUAUCUAUACAAUCAUUAUAUUAAUGCAAAUAAUUAACUUACUUUUUAACAAAAUUAAAAUAUUUCUGAACCAUGUUUCAAAUUAUAAUUUUUUUAUUUAAAAAUAUAAAUUAUUUAAGUUUUCUCUCUUAAUUAAAAAAGUCAAAUUUCAUCCAAUUCAAAAUUUUAUUUUAAUUGAUUCGAAAUCAAAUUCAAUUUAAUUCAAAUUAAAUAAAAAAAUUAAAAAUUUAAAUUUGAAAAUACAUGAAUUUAAAAUGAUAUUAAUUUUAGACGAUCCAAGUUCAACAUGACUCAAAUCUAAAACGAACAGAGCUCAUAAUGAUCCAAAACCCAAGAUUUAUUCGAUCCAAAACUUAUAAAAACUUAUAUUUAUAACUCCAAAAAAUCCAAAUUAUAAUUAAAUAUUUUUAUUUAAUAACUAAAUGAGUAAAUGAUUAUUUUUUAAGGGAAAAUUUUAAGACACACAAGCUCCUUCUCUCGUCAAUGCUUCUUUACUCAGAAACAGCUCGUAGGAAUGGCAUGGUCAACUACUCUGCUUCACCUUCAAUUCAAAUUCCCUCCGGUUUCUUCUCACCAAUUGCGAUGUUCCCUCCCCAAAAAAUCCCCAAUCUUCCUAAACCCUAACCCUGUAAUUCCCAAUUCUAAACCCCCCAAAAUGCAAUUCCUUCACAGACCCAACGCGUUUCCAGGCCACGGCGCAGUAUCAAGGGCCAUGGACAUCAUCCAAUCGUCGCCGCCCACGUGGCAAUCGGCCUUCCUCAGCAACCUCGUGAUCUUCGUCAUCGGAAGCCCACUUUUAGUAGCGGGGCUAUCUCUCUCCAGAAUUUGUGCUGCCUUCUUGCUUGGCACUCUCACUUGGCGCGCUUUUGGGUCUUCUGGGUUCCUCCUCGUUGCUUCUUACGUAAUAGUGAGUCCUCACAAAGUCUAUGGAUUUUAUUUGAAUUGUGGGAUUUAAGUUAAAUUUAGAAAUGGGGUUCUGAUUUUUGUUCCCAUUUGGUAUAAAGUUUACGCUUUGGAGGACAAGUUUCAUUGUUUGGUAAUAUGGCAAAGGAAAAGAAACUUAGUUUAUGUCAAAAAGAUUUCAUGUGAAGUAGUUUGUUAUUUAAGUGUGAUUUGUUUUUGUUUAAAGAAUUGGAUUACACUAGUGAAAUCACGUCAAAAUCAUAACCAAAAUAUUUUUUCCAAAAUUUCUUUAUUUUCAUUUGUUUUGCUCUUGGUGGGGGGCAGGUGGAGGAGCCAGGGAGAAUUUAUGGGUUCUCGCAGUUUUAGACUAGUUUGAAACGAUAUAGUAUUGUUUUUCCUGCUUUCCUUUCUAAUAAUGGCUUGUUUUACUUGCAAAAUGAAUCUUGAAUUAGUUCCUCCUUCCCUCUUCUGAUUUUCCCUACCCAUAUUUCUAGUUGAAGAUAAUAGUUUCAAAUCAUGCUUGAAAACUAUAUUACAAAAUACUUGUAAUAUCAAACAAUUUUGUGUGGCAUUCGAGUUUCUAAUUUGAAUGGAGAAAUAAUUGGGAUGGAAGUGGUAUUAAAUAAUUUAGAGGAAAGAAACCCGAAUGCCUUUUGCACCAAUACAAAGAAAAGAAAAGAAAACCUAGUACAAAACUUCGGAAGAUGCUUGAUUGUAAGCUGCUGGGCUUUUGAGGACCUGAGACUCCAUAAUACUUUAUAAUUCUCUAAAUCUUCAUGCAAUCUUACAGCUCUUUGUCAUGCCUCUAAAACAAAUGCGGUAAAACCAUGCUCAAUUGCUCAAAUUGUUAUGCUCAAUUGAGAACUCCUGACCUGUUAUGUGUGUGUGGAGAUGAUAACACCAAUGAAUGGCCUUGUUAUACGGAUGACCGCUCAUGAUAAUUGCUACUUCAAAAAUUAUUGGCUUAGAUUAUGCUGCUGUGUUUUGAAACUUGUUGGCAUGCCUCACGAAUGCUGCAAAAUGUGCAGAAGGUUUCUGAGAUCUUGCUGCCAUCUAAGAAGAAAGAAUGGUGAAAUUGUACAGGUACUAUGAAUAUGAUGUAAUGUUUAGCUUUUUUAUAGGGACUUCCUUUUUGUAUAGUGAACUUGGUUGCAUUGGAAUGAGUCUGUUCUCUGGGAAGAAUCACUGUUCUGAAAAUUGUUAGGUCUGAUCACAAUUGCAACCAGGAGCGGCAUGCCUUGCUUUUCUUCUCAUAGGGCAUCAGGGUAUCCCAUCAGGGUUCUUUUUGUGAACCCCUCUUAUGAAAUAACAUCUUCUAUGCCUUUCCAAAAAAAAAAAAAGUAACAAUCACAUGGCAUAAUUUUUUCUUACAAUAUGAGAGUACUGCAUCAGAGUUUCUUAAUGCAUUAAGAAAAGUUAGAGAUGAGGUCUAAGAAAAUAUCAAUUUCAAGAAGAAACAAAUAACACUAGAAUCAUAUUUUACAAAAAUAUCAUAAUUGAGUCAUGUAUAUAUAUAAUUUUGAUGUAUAAGAAAAUUAUUAAUUUAUAUAUCAAGUGAGAUCUAUGUGUUUUUUUUCAAAAUGUAUUAUCUUAUUAAUUUAACAAAUUAUUAAUUUAUCAUGUUGAUCUCAAAUCAGGACCAACCAAAAUUAUUAAUUUAUCAAGCAUUAUUUAUAGACGUUUUGUUGUACUUCUCUGUAAUUCACUCUAAAUAAAAGGGUAUGUUGAAACAAGCGGAAUUUAGAUCCCUUAUGGUUCUUGCUACAUUUAAGUACUAUUAAUGUCAUUUAUGCUGGUUAUAAAGAUCUGACAUUUUAUUUAGAAACAAAAUUUGUAGAGUGUCAAGCUUUAAUAGCUUUUUUUUUGUUGCUUUUUAAUGUUUAUAUUCGUUGCUAUAUACUAUUUUUUUUCCCUAUCAAACCAUUCUUUCAUGCUUACAAAUUUAAAUUUGUGGUGUGCAAAAAUUGUUGAUAUAUUUCAAAAUCAAAUGUUAUGUCACAUAAUAAAAAGCUAUUUUAGCUCAAAAGUUGUCACAUAAAAUGACAUAGUGUGACUAUUGAAUUGUAGGUAGGUUUUCAUAUGAAUGGUUAUGUCUCUAGGUAAAAUGACAUUCAAAAAUUAUGAGACAAAUUGAAAAAAUACUAUAGCUCAAAAGUUUAAGAGCUUGUUUGGCCUAGUUUUUUUUUAACUUAAAAGCUAUUAUUAAGCUCUUAUGAAAAAUAAUAGCUUUUAAAAAUUAAGCUAAAAUUAUUUGAUAAAUUGUUUAACAAAAUAAAUUAUAUAAGCUCUAAUUUCGGUUAAAAUUACCAUAAAGGGUAUUCAUGCUAUCUUCAAUCACCUAAUAAGCUAUAAUGUAAUGCUUCAAGUUUGUAUAUAAUUUCAGAUAUUAAAAUCGAAGAAAUCAAUAAAAAAAUGAAUAAUUUUCAAACUUAUAUAGUAGCAAUAGUAUUAGACUUUUGUUGAUCUAACAAGCAAUCGGACCAUGAUGCUUCAAUUCCCAAAAAAGAAGAAAAGGGAGGAAACGGUGUAUUUAAUAUUAAAAUCUUUUUUAGUGAAAAAAAAAAUAGAAAACCUUUAAAUAGUUUUUGAAUGCAGUUUUGAAUUUUAGAUUUUUUUUCUCUCAAUUUUUGUAAGAACAAAAAAAUUUUAAAUUUUGUUAUUCAAUGGUUGGUCUUCUGUUUUUAAUUUUUUAGUAGUCUUUAGAGAGGUAGAGGAGAGGGAGAUAGUAAUUUUACGUUGGAGAAUGGUAAUUUGCAGAGGGAAGAAGAGGAGAGGGAGAUUAAUUUAGAGAUGGGUAUUUCCUGAAAUUAAUGUAUUUUUAAAAGAAGAAAAAAAAAAGCUCUUCCUUGGAGCUUUUUUUUAAAGCUCUUUUUUUUUUUUUUAAAUUUUGUUCUUAAAAAAAAACUGUUUUUUUUUUUAAGAGCUUCUCAAAAAAGCUUUUGGUUUUAAAAGGUAGAUAAGGUGAAAAAAAACAGGCCAAACAUGUACUAAAUAUGAAAAGUUAUUGUUUUAAAUUAUAACUCAAAGAUUAUGUUUUAUGGAAUGAAUAGUUCUCCUUUCAUAAGAUGAUUAUUAAGUGCUUGUUUGGCCUAGUUUUUUUUCAGCUUAUCUAUCUCUUAAAAAUAAAAGUCAGGCCAAACAUAAAAUUUUAAAAAGCUCUUAAAAAAAAGUAGCUUUUAUUAAAGAACAAAUUUUUGAAAAAAGAGCUUCAAGGAAAAGCUCAUAUUAAGAGUUUUUUCUUCUCUUUUUUUAAAAAUGCAAGAGAAUUUUUAUUUUUGUUCCAAAAAUAUCAUCAUCUGUUAAAAUAAUUACAAUAUUACCCUCUCAAAAAAAGAAAUACCCUUUAUGAUAAUUUUAACAAAAAUUUAUAACUUAUAAAAAGAAAUUUACUAAAUAAUUUUAGCUUAAUUUUAAAAGCUAUUAUUAUUCAUAAGAGCUUCAUAAGAGCUUUUAAGCUAAAAAAAAGCCAGGCCAAACAAACUCNUCAGGCCAAACAUAAAAUUUUAAAAAGCUCUUAAAAAAAAGUAGCUUUUUUUAAAGAAUAAAAUUUUGAAAAAAAGAGCUUCAGGAAAAGCUCCUAUGAAGAGCUUUUUCUUUUCUUCUUUUAAAAAUGCAAGAGAAUUUUUAUUUUUGUUCCAAAAAUAUCAUCAUCUGUUAAAAUAAUUACAAUAUUACCCUCUCAAAAAAAGAAAUACUCUUUAUUAUAAUUUUAACCAAAAUUAUAACUUAUUAAAAAAAAUUUACCAAACAAUUUUAGCUUAAUUUUAAAAGCUAUUAUUUUUCAUAAGAGCUUUAUAAUAGCUUUUAAGCUAGAAAAAAGCCAGGCCAAACAGACUCUUAAACAAUACCUUUAUCUUAGAGUUGUAUCUAGCAAAAUGUAAAGAUGUCUUUUAGACAAAAUAGUGCCUUAAUGAAAGGGUUGUGUUCUUGAAGAAGAGACACUUGCAAGCCUAUAUAAAGGGCCUGUUGCCAACCAUUUUGACAUAUCAAAUAAAAAACAAAACAAAAGCAGAAAAAUCAAGAGUAAGAAAAGUGUUAUGUUCUAUUAACAUAAACACUUAAGUUCCCAUCAACUACAAAAGCGUCCAAAUUUUUUAUAAUCUACUUGUUGUAGAGAGUAGGCUCUAAGUCCUAACAACUUUACAAACCCUCGAGUGUAUCUAGUGGUCUACUCUUGUAAAGUGCAAGACGAAGUUAGACAUUAGCUUCAUUGUAUCUCUAAGGCUAUUUGCAUUAUUCCCUUUUGCAUACCGAGUGGUGGGGACUAAAUAAGUCUUAAAGAUAACAUCUAUUGAAAGACUCGCCUUAAAGUCAAGUUUUUCGAUUCUUAAAUUCCAUCUAAACCCCAUUUGCACCAACAAAAAUGAGCAGGUACCUACUUUACUUUAUUAUUCUACUUUUAUUAUAUAAUUUUUAUAGUCUCCUUUUUCAUCUUAUAUAUGGAAUCAAAUCCAUAUAGAAACCUUAAGCUUGAGGCAUAAGCUUCUCUCUUAUGAAAAUAAAAUAAAAGUCAAGAGCAGUAUAUAUACCAUUGUGAAUGAAUAAAGUAUAAAAACAUGGUGCCUUUUGAGAUACAAAACAUUGUGAAUGCGACAAGAAGUAUUAGUUGUAAUGUGUUAAUGGUCAUUUUUUAAUCAAAUUAAAAAUGUUACUAUUAGCAAUAUCAAGAAUUGCCAGGGAGAAAUUCAUUGAUAAAAUGACAAAUACCUAAAUUCUCUUCAUUGGCAACUUUACUAAAAAUCACUUUAAAAAAAAAAUUAGUAAAAGAUUUUCCAUAUUAUCUCUAUAUAUAAUACAAUAUCAAAAUUUAGUAUUAUAAAAUAUUUUAUUUUAUGCUUUUUUAGUACUAACAUAUUUUAAACAAUGUCAUUGUUUAUUUUAUUAUUACAUGGACACUACUUAUGUCAAACCCUGUUCUAUAUAAUAAUUACGACAUCAUUUACAUGCUCAAUAGAAUAGUUGCAUAUUUAGGAAGUUUGAGAAAUCGUUAAAAGACGAUAUUGCCCCUAAUGGUAUCAUUAAGUCGAUUAAGCCUCGAACUAGUUCAAAUAGGAAUUUUAAGGUGAAAUUCAAAAUUUUACAGUCAAAGAAUGACUUAAAAUGGUGAUUUGGAGUUCGAGGAUCAAUUUGGAGUCAAAUCGGAAUUUUUGCUAUCUAGGGGCAAAAUGGUCAUUUGCCACCUAGAGACAAAAUGAAAAUUUUUAGAAAAGAUUUUUUUGGCCCCAUUUGACUCAUUGGAGUAUGAUUUGAGUAUUGGAGUAUGAUUUGAGGUUUAGAAGUGAAAAAUUUUAAUUUCGGUAUAGUUUAGAGUAUAAGGGUAAAAUGGUAAUUUUACCACCCUAGGGGCAAAACAGUAAUUUUUCACCACCAGGACACUUGUCCAGCACAUGGUCUUCCCUUAUCCUCAUUUUGACCUUUGACUAAUCAUGUGGUGGAGAUAAAAGGUUUAAAAUUUUUAAAGUUUUAAAAAUGGACCAAUGGAAACAUGCCACGUGUCAAGCAAGGAUAUUUUAUUAUUUUCUAUAAAAAUCAGCCCAUAUUUAUCCCAUUCUUCUUCUCCAUAUUCGGCCAAGACAAAAGGAAAGAAAGGAAAAACAAGAACAAAACCUAGGUGGAGGAUUUCAAGAGAAAAAGUGUGGAAAAUCAAGGAAAACAAGUGAAAAAGGUAAGAUUUUUCAAUUUAAACUUGAAAUCUAUUUUCCUUACGCAUUUCUCUUUAUUUUUCAUGCUUAAAUUACAUGUUUUCAUGAUGAAUUCAUGACUGAUCAAAACGGGUAUGGAGAGAGAAAGAUGUUGGAUUGAAUUGAUUUUAAGAUAUGUUAGUGUUUUUAGUUAGUUUAGCAUAUUUAGAAGCAAAACAAUAAGAAAAGAAUCCAUUUUUCCCAUGAAUCAUCAUUGGCCGAAUCUUCCUUCAUGUGUGUGGGUGGUGGAUUGUUAUUAUUUCAAGAGAAAUGGCUUAGAAAAUGAUGAAUAAUGGUGAAAAAAAUUAAGUAGGAAAAAUCACUGUGUUAGUGCACUGUAAUGGCCGAAUUUUUCCAUGAAGAAAUGGGAGGGUUUUGAUGCUGAAAUUGGUGUUAUUUGAAUAAUGUUUGGUGAAUUGAGGUAUUAGAAAUGAAAUGGAGCAAUUUGGAGCCAAAUCGGACACAAUUGUCAUUUAAUCGGGUAAUAGGCCGAAUUAGGUCAACACCGCAUUUAAGCGGUAGUCGGAUAAGUUGCAUAUCAUAUCAUGCAUAUACACUGAGCCUGAAUUGAUUUUAUAAUGGUCAAGCAUUAAUGUGGUGAAUUAUGUAUUGUACAUUGUGGAUAGGUAGUGAGCAUAUUACACUAGUAAAAGUACAAAGAUUGUGCUUGAAGACUGGGAUUAGGAGUACAUCGACUCCUAGAACUGUGAGUAAACUUAUUAUUGUCUUAAUUAUCUAGAGUAGUUUUAUACAAUUAUGUGAUUUUAUAGAAAAUGAGUUUAAAUGGUAAAUUGCUAUGUUUUAGGAGAAAUUGUGAUUUUAUAAAAUGAUUUUAUAAAUUUUUUGAAAAAUUGAAUACUAGUUUUGAAAAUAGAGUAAUUGGAAACUGCCUGCUUGUGUUAUAAAUUGUGUUUUAAAUUAUAUGGCUUAUAGCAAUAUGUGAGCAUGAAUGGCAAAGUCAGUAUUUGUAUUAAAAUUAUAUAUACUAUGUAUUCAGCCUUGAAAUGCUAGAUUUUGAUAAAUUACCAUGUCAUGCAGAUAAGGAUUUUAUAAAUUAUAUGGUAGAUAAAAUAAUCCAUAAUCCCUACAGUGGAGGUUUUGUGGACCAGCCUAAGAGAGGGGGCACAGAAUCAGAUAUACCUUACCUCGAUCGGAGAGCCGUGUGAAGGGUGUCUCUGGAGGUAAAGAUUUGAGUGCACUUUACGUGGACCAUCACGUGAGAGUGAGACUCAGCCAACGCCAAGGCAUGGCUAGAAUUUCAAAUGUAAAGACAUUUAACAGCCUUGGUGGUCUCGGUCAGAUGCUUAAGCCAAGGCAUCCCCGGGAAUGAUUUUGGCAGAGCCAAGUUUUGUGAGAUAGAUAAGCCAUGUUGAAUUAUUGAGUAAACUGAAUAUUCAUGUUAUGAAACAUAUAUUGAAAAAAUAUGUAAAAACCCUUAAAUUUUUAUUCUUUUAUUAUAACUAAACAAGUCGCAAACUCUUAAUUUUAAUAAAAAAUUUAACAAUCAUCAAAUUUAUUAUCAAUUGAUAUUUUUUUUGUCUAAUUAAUAUAUGAUAUGAUAAUUAAUAUAAUUGCGUGAUGGUAGACAUAACCCCAUAAAAAUUAAUGUGAAAUGAGUCAUGCUAUCAUGUCAUCAAGUUAUGCCGACAAGAAAAUGUCAACUAAAUUUUAAAAAAUGAUUGGAAUUUUUAAUCUUCCUCAGAAUUUUUUAUACAUAUGAAAAGAAAAUGUAAAGUAUGGAACUGAUUAAGAAUCCCAAUCCUCUGUCACAUUCGUUGACUUUUCAAAUGUAGACUUGGCUUUAAUAUUAAAGACAAGAGAACACUUUUUCACAAACUAAUCAUGCCCUUAAUCUCCUUCUCUCUCACGGAAACUUUAGGCUGCUGAGAGCAAAACUUCCAUUACUUUGCCUCUUGGCUUUGGCUUUUUUUCUUCUCCUUCAUGCAUGCAUCGCUUGAGUCAAAAACAAGCACUGUGGCUUCUGUUUCUGUGGCUCUUGUUUCUGCGGAAACAUUAACAUCAAUUACCCUUUCCGUUAAACUUAGAUUUGAUUUCAAUUGCAGCCACAGAAAUAAUUAGCAAAGCAAUGAAGAUAACAUUGUCCUAAGAGUUAAUGUUUCUCGUUAAACUUUUUUAUAUAUACUCCUCCACAGAAAAAUACUGUUGUUAACGUGUGAGGAUUUUUAAGUAUUCCGCAAUAUUUGGUGUUGUUUAGUUUUUGAAAAAUAUUUAUUGUUUUUAGCAUAAAUAAAUUUGACAAAUAAACAAAUAUGAGAAAAAUAAAUUUUUAAUUUUGAAUUCUAAUUUUAAAAAGUGGACAAUAUUUUUAAAUUACUUUUUUAAUUUUGUGUAUAAAUUUGUAUCAUAAAAUUUAAACUCGACAUUUUAAUGUAAAAUUUAAAGAGAAGGAUUUAAAACAUUUUUUCGUUUGGGCCCGGGGAAUCCCUUGCUUUUGGCUAUGGUCUUUAUUUACCUUUUUUGCACCUUUUUUUUUCGAAACUAUUAAUUCACAAACACUAUUGGAACGACGCGGCACGACAGCAAUACCACGACAAUCUACGAUUCAGAUUGACAUUACUAAUUUAUUAUUAUAAUAAUAAAUAUAUUAAAAAUUUUCUAAACUAUUUAAAAUAAUUUAAUUAAGUCUUCCUCUUUUUAUUUUGUUCAAUUAAACUCUUAUAUUUUUAUGUUGAAAUAAAUAAACAUUUAUAAUUAAUGGUUAACUAACUUUUAUUAAUUCAAAUUCAACUUGUCAUUUUAUACCCAAGUGACGUUGACAUGAUGUAAACAUGAAAGGUAAAAAUGUCAUGUCAGCAUAACAUGUUAAUAUCAUGUGACAUAAAAUAAUAAGUAGAAUUUUGAUUAAUAACGGUUAGUUAAUUAUUAAUUAUAAUGGAUUAUUUGGUUUAAAAUAGAAAUACAAGAAUUUGAUUGUACGCAAUAAAAGCUUAAAAGUUUAUUUGAAUUUUUCUAAAUAAUUCAGAGACAUUUUUAAAUAUUAUGCAUAUAUAUAUAUAUGUGAAAUUAAUUAAAUUUACAACUUUCAUAUUUUUUAUACAAUUUAUAUUUUGUUGAUAUAAUCGUUGUAUUCCAUAUAUACUUUAUUUACAUAGAUCAUGCAUGAAAAAUUUUAACUUAAUUAAAACUUUCUAAUUAUUUGUAUGAUAACAAUGAAAUUUUAAUCGUUAAAUAUAUAUUAAAAAACAAUAUUCCCCACCAAUGCUCUCCGGGUAUCAUUCUGACUAGAAACUUUAUAUGUAUGAUUAGGUGCAAACAAUGUUAGCUUGCUAAAAGUUAAUUGUAUAUGAAAUUAUAAAAGGUGUAAAACUUAAUCAAUGUGUGUAUAUAUAUAUAUAUAAUUUUUAUAAGUAUUGCAUAUAUGUAUACAUAUGUAUAAAAGAGAUUCAAUAAAAGAUAAAAUAAUUAAAUAAGAGAAGAUCCACUACAAAUGAUUCAUAAAUAAUAUUGAACGACAUUUAUUAGAUUUUUUAGUAACAUAUUUUAUGUUGUUACGAUGUUUUUUGGUCAAAAUAAAAAAUUUGUCCAAAUUUAUCAUUUACUUUGGGUGAUGGAUCAAAUUAUGAUCGUAUUUGAAUGAAUAUAAUUUUGUCACUAUACUUUAAAAUUGGUUAAAAAUUGAUCAAAAGUUCUGAAAUAAACUAAAAGGUACGAUAAUAAAAAUAACACCUGUCAAACCCUGUUCUAUAAAAUAAUUACGACGUCAUUUACAUGCUCAAUAGAAUAUUUGCAUAUUUAGGAAGUUCAAGAAAUCGUUAAAAGACGAUAUUACCCCUAAUGGUACUAUUAAGUUGAUUAAGCCUCGAACUAGUUCAAAUAGGAAUUUUAAGAUGAAAUUAAGAGUUUCAUAGUUCAGGGAUGACUCAAAAUGGUAAUUCGGAGUCCGAUGAUCAAUUUGGAAUGAAACCGGAAUUUUCACUAUCCAAAGGUAAAAUGGUCAUUUGCCACUUGAGGACAAAAUGAGAAUUUUAAAAAAGAUUUUUUGGCCCCAUUUGAUUUAUUGGAGUAUGAUUUGAGUAUUGGAGUAUNNNNNNNNNNNNNNNNNNNNNNNNNNNNNNNNNNNNNNNNNNNNNNNNNNNNNNNNNNNNNNNNNNNNNNNNNNNNNNNNNNNNNNNNNNNNNNNNNNNNNNNNNNNNNNNNNNNNNNNNNNNNNNNNNNNNNNNNNNNNNNNNNNNNNNNNNNNNNNNNNNNNNNNNNNNNNNNNNNNNNNNNNNNNNNNNNNNNNNNNNNNNNNNNNNNNNNNNNNNNNNNNNNNNNNNNNNNNNNNNNNNNNNNNNNNNNNNNNNNNNNNNNNNNNNNNNNNNNNNNNNNNNNNNNNNNNNNNNNNNNNNNNNNNNNNNNNNNNNNNNNNNNNNNNNNNNNNNNNNNNNNNNNNNNNNNNNNNNNNNNNNNNNNNNNNNNNNNNNNNNNNNNNNNNNNNNNNNNNNNNNNNNNNNNNNNNNNNNNNNNNNNNNNNNNNNNNNNNNNNNNNNNNNNNNNNNNNNNNNNNNNNNNNNNNNNNNNNNNNNNNNNNNNNNNNNNNNNNNNNNNNNNNNNNNNNNNNNNNNNNNNNNNNNNNNNNNNNNNNNNNNNNNNNNNNNNNNNNNNNNNNNNNNNNNNNNNNNNNNNNNNNNNNNNNNNNNNNNNNNNNNNNNNAACCUUCAAUGGCCGAACCCUAUGUGAAGUGUAGAAGUAAUGAAUUGAUUUUGUGAUCAAGUGAAUUGGUUGAAAAAUUGAUGAAAUGAUGAUUUAUGGUGAGAAAAUGGAAUGGGAAAAUUUUUAGUGAUAGUGCACCACAAUGGCCGAAAUUUUCAAGAAGAAUUGUGAGGGUUGUCAGGCUGAAUUUUAGAUUAUUGGAAUUGUAUUUAGUGAAUUGAAAUAUUAGAAAUGAAAUAGAGCAAUUUGGAGCAAAAUCGGACACAAUUGUCAUUUAAUCGGGUAAUAGGCCGAAUUAGGUCAACACCGCAUUUAAGCGAUAGUCGGAUAAGUUGAAUAUCAUAUCAUUCAUAUUGUCACGAACCGGAACUCCCAUCGAGCCCGUGACAACAGCCGCGACGUCUCGAUCGACAUUCAUUACCCGGAAUGUCAACCGGAACCCGGCAAGGUUUUAAUAUCAGCUUCUCAUUUUCCCUGUGGGUAACUGUUUUCAAAUACCACAUUCUAAAAGAUUUUAAAUUGUUUCCAACUUAAGCAAAUAAAAUAAUAAUUUUCAUCUCACAAGGGAAUUUUGGUCAUUUAUCCCAAAAAUCUCAAAAUCAUCUAAAAAUAUAGUAUGUAAGUGGAAAACACAUAUUUCAUAAUCAAAAAUAAUUUUGGAUGUCUAAAACAUUCGUUUAAAAUGGAAUUAUGACUGUUAUAAUAAAAUAAAAAUAUUAAAUAAAAUAUUCAAUUUCCACAUAAAACGAUAUUUUAAGAACAUUGCAUAAAUAAUUUUUAUAGUGUAAAAGCAAAAUAAAUUCUUACAUACCGUAAUACAGAUAACCAAAGUAUACAAUUUAAUUUACAGUGACAAGUGGGCCCACGAAUGACCAAAAGUAUCAAAAGAAAUGAACCUACAGUUUUUGGAUGUGGCAAGUUCAACUAUAAUCAUCGCCGAUAUCAGUUAUCUACAAUCUAUUCUGAGCCUGAAAUAGGUGGAAAGGAGGAUGGUGAGAUUAUAAAAUCCCAGUGAGUAAACAAACAUCACCUAAAAUAUCUAAAGUCGAGUAAAAGGAGACUAUUAAAACAUUUCAUCAAACUGUAAUUUAUCAUCUUUCAACCUAUUUCAACCAAAUGAAAUCAAUUUAUUUAAAGCAAGUAAUCAGUAUGGCUUAUGAAUUUCUUAAAAAGCUUGGCUCAUGCCAAAAAUUAUUAUCAUACUCAGUUAUCUGGGAUACCUUGGCCGAGAGCUAUCCCAACUGAGUCCGCCAAGGCUAUUAGAAAGUCGUGUUUUUAUUUUGAAAACAUAGUCGUUCCUUGGCGUUGGCCGAGUUCCCCUUCACGUGGUGGUUUAGCGUGAAGUGAAUUCUAAAAGUUAUAUCUCGGGAGUUACCCUACUCGCCUCUCCAACCGAGGUAAAAAUAUAACAGGAUUCUGUGCUCCUCUAAUAGGCUAGUCCACAGAACCCAACCUACUGCAGCAGGUCAAACCCACCAUACAAUAAAAUUUUGACAGCAUGACAGGGCUAAUAUAUUACUACCCAACCUGCAAGGGUAAAAUAAAGCAAUUCAUACAAUUCAUAAAAAUACAGCCCAGCCAGUCAUGCCAAUACAAUAACAUAAGCCAUUGAUUCAAUUUUAAAUUUACAACAUAUCAGUAGUCUCCAAUUACUCUAUUUUCAAAAUCAUUAUUUCGUUUCAAGACAAUUUAUAAAAUAUUUUCAUUUAAACUCAUUUUGUUUACAAAAUAUAAAAAUUUACCAUUUGAACUCAUUUUCAUAAAAUUCACCAAAACCGAAUAAAAACAUACUUUAGAUAAUUAAAAUGAUGGUAAGGUUACUCACCGUGUCUAAAGUGGAGAUUUUCGAAAUACUCAGACUACUGGUCUUCGGGUGCAAUUCCCUUGCCUUUAUCGGAAGACUCACCACCUUGACACAGUGCAAAAUCGAGAAAUUCACCACAUUGGUACUAAAUUGAAAUUAAACUAAUUUAGACUACUAAUGCUUGAUAUGGAAUGCAAAAAUGUCUAAAUUUUUGCCUAAAUGCGGUGUUAGCCUAUUUCGGUUUUUUACUCGAUAAAUCGAUAUACGCGUCCGUUUAAACUCCAAAUUAAUUUUUUUCAGUUUCUAUACCCCAAUUGCACCCAAAUUGACUUAAUGUCCCUCAGUGUGGUGCAAAUUAUCAGUCUCGAUAGCAAAUUACAAAAAUACCCCUAGUGGGUAAAAAUUUGUAUUUUUGCUCCUAAAAUUCUCAUUAUUUUUCUAGGCUCAUAAUUCAUUAUUAUUUAUCAUAAUUCCUCAAAUAAACAUCAAGAUCAGCAGCCAAUAUUCCCCUAGAAAAUUCGGCAUAAUGGGUUUCAAUGGGAGAAAAUUAUAUCUCUAGCUUAUUUUUGCUAUAUUUCAAUAUAACUUAACUAAAAUCGCUUAAUUCAAUUAAAAUCAACCAAAAAUCAAGCUCAAAACUCAUCCAUGGAAGUUUGGCCAGCAUGGGUGUCCAUACCCACUUUCUAAUUUUGCAUGGAAAUGAGAAAAAAAUGCAUGGGUAGUGAAAAUCACAAGGAAAAUCAAUGAAAUUUACCUUUUUAAUGCUUGAUUUCUUGAUUUCUCUUGAUUUUCCCCAAAUUUUCAGGUAGGGUUCUUAUUUUUUUCCCCCUUUUCUCUCCUGGUUUGGACGGCUGAAGAAGAUGAGAAUUCUGAAAUUUUUACCUUUUUAAAGGCUAAAAUAAAUAAUAUUAUUUUAGUCAUUUUUUUAAUGUUUUAUUAAUUUCUUAAAUUCUAGCCAUCCAUUUGUUUCCAAAUUUUCACCAUACACUUGUCCCACAUAUCCAUAGCUUAGAUAAAAUUCUCAGACUUAUCCAAACUCUUGGUGGAGUAAUUUUUGAAAUUUACACUUUUACCCCCGUAAAAGUCAAAAAUUACAUUUUUGCCCCAAAAACUGAAAAAUUGCCCCUAGACAUAUUUUUCAUCCCUUAUACUCAUACCAUUCUCCAAUUUGUCAAAUUUGAUCUAAAUUCUCUCAAAAUCUCAAAUUUUAUCCGCUAGUGGUAAAAUUACGAUUUCGCCCCUACACUCUAAAAAUCACCGAAAUUAAACUUUUUCACUGCCAAACCCUCAAAUUAUACUCCAAUACUCAAAUCAUACUCCAAUAAGUCAAAUGGGGCCAAAAAAAUUCUUUUCUAAAAAUUCCCAUUGUGUCCAUGGGUGGCAAAUGACCAUUUUACCCCUGGACAGUGAAAAUUUCAAUUUGACUCCAAAUUGAUCCUCGAACUCCAAAUCACUAUAUUAAACCAUUCUGGGACUUUAAUAUUCUUAAUUUUAUUUUAAAUUCUCUAUUUGAUCUAGUUCGAGGCUUAAAUUAACUUAAUUGUAUCAUUUGGUACAUUGUCGUCUUUUAACGAUUUUUCUUUCGGGGCUUUCCAAGUAUGCAAGCAUAUUGUCAAUCAUAUGAAUGACAUGACAAGUAUUUUAUAAGGUCGGGCUUGACACAUAUACACCGAGCCUGAAUUGAUUUUAUAAUGGUCAAGCAUUGAUGUGGUGAAUUAUGUAUUGUACAUUGUGGAUAGGUGGUGAGUAAAUUACACUGAUAAAAGUACAAAGAUUGUGCUUAGAGACUGGGAUUAGGAGUGCAUCGACUCCUAUAACUAUGAGUAAACUUAUUAUCGUCUUAAUUAUCUAGAGUAGUUUUAUACAAUUGUGUGAUUUUAUCAAAAAUGGGUUUAAAUGGUAAAUUGCUAUAUUUUAGGAGAAAUUGUGAUUUUAUAAAAUGAUUUUAUAAAUUUUUUGGAAAAUUGAAUACUGGUUUUGAAAAUAGAGUAAUUGGAGACUGCUUGUGUUGUAAAUUUAUGGUUUUAAAUUGAAUGGCUUAUGACAAUAAAUGAGCAUGAAUGGCUAAACUGAUUUUUGGUGUUAGAAUUAUUUGUACUGUGUAUUCAGCCUUGAGAGGCUAGGUUGCGAUAAAUUGUCAUGUUAUGUAGAAAAAGAUUUUAUAAAUCAAGUGGUAAAUAAAGUAAUCCAUAGUCACUACAGUGGUGGGGGUUUUCGUGGACUGCCUAUGAGAGGGGCACGGUAACCCAAUUAUAUAUUUACCUCAAAGGGGAGAUGUUGGAUGAAGUAUCUUUAGAGGUAAAGAUUUGAGUGCACUUCACGUGGACCACCGCGUGAGAGUGAGACUCGGCCAACACCAAGGCAUGGCUAAAAUUUCGGAUGUAAAGACAUUUAAAAGCCUUGACAGACUCAGUUGGGAUAAUCCUCAAUCAAGGUAUCCCUGAUAACUGAGUAUGAGAAUGAUUUUUGGCACGAGCUAAGCUUUUCAGGAAAUCAUAAGCCUAGUUGUUUAUUUGAUUGAAAUGAGUUGAAAGGUAAUGAAAUUACAAUAUGAUGACUUAUUUUAAUUUGUCUCCAUUUACUCGCCUUUAGAUAGUUUAGAUGGUGUCUGUUUACUCACUGGGAUUUUAUAAUCUCACCACCCUCCUUUCCUCACAUUUUAGACUCGAGGAAUUCCAUAGUUAGCUGACUUUGACAAAGACCUUCAUUUGGACUUGAAUCGGCAAAAGCUAUAGGUUUUCAGCUUCUGAUGUAUUUUGGUUAGAUGUGGGCCCACGUGUCACUGUAAAAGUAAUUUUAUGCUUUGGUUAUUUGCUUUAUAGUAUAUAUGAAUAUAAUUAACUUUUACGUUAUAAGAAUUAUUUACCGAUAGCUUUAUAAAAAUUAUUAUACAAGAAAAUAGUUUAUUUUAUUGAAUAUUUUUAUUAUAUUCAAAUGGUCAAAUUUUCACUUCAAAUGAACGUUUUAGAUACUUAAUUUGUUUUCAAAUCACUAAAUAUAUAUUUUUUGCUUACCUACUACAUUUUUAGCAAGUUUUGAGAUUUUUGAGAAAAAAUGACGAAAAUGCCCCUGUGAGCCAGAAAACAAUAUGUUAUGUUUUGAUUUGGAAAUGACUCGUAAUCCUUUGAAUUACGAUAUUUGAUAACUAUUGCUCAUCGGGGAAGUGCAAAAGCUGAUACGAGAGCUUUACGAGGUUUCGAUUGGCAUUCGGGGUGAAGAAUGUCUGUCGAGGCUUCGCGACGGUUGUCACGGGCUCGAUGAGAGUUUCGGGUCAUGACAACACCCAUUCAAAAAAUGAGUAGUAAAUUUGAUCCAUUAUGCUAAGUAGAUUGGUGGUAAAUUUGAACCUUAUGUCAAAUUAUUCUAUGAAGUUUGUAUGUGAAAAUAUGGCAGCUAGCACAUACCCAAAUUAAAUUUGUAAAUAACAUAUACAUGUUCUAUAAUCAUGUUUUCCAACUAAUUGAUUUAUAUAUUGUUUGUUAACUCUUUUUUUUUAAGAAACAGAAAUUCUUUUACUAAGAACUUUUUUGGGAAUAAUUUGUUUAAUUGUGUUGGUUAGAUGAAAAUUAAAAAGUAGCAUUUGUCGAUGGAUGACAUGAUUGAAAAUUUUCUUCAGAGUCAAAACAAUUUAAUGCUUAUAAGAUAUUCUUAUUUUGAAAUAAAAAGAAUAACUGAUGGUUUCAAGAAUAAAUUAAGUCAAGGAGGAUAUGGUUCUAUGUUUAAAGGAAAACUUCGAAGUGGUCAACUUGUUGCAAUAAAAUUGUUAAACAAAAAAAAAAGGUAUCACCCAAGAUUUCAUCAAUGAAGUUGCAACUAUUCGAAGGAUUCAUCAUGUUAAUGUGGUAAGACUUAUUGGAUUUGGCGUGAAGGGAUCAAAAUAAGCUCUUGUAUAUGACUUCACGAAGAAUGGGUCAUUGGAUAAAAUUAUAUUUUCAACUAAAAAUAACACCUUGAGUUGGCAAAAAUGUUUGAGAUUGCAUUGGGGGUGGCUCGAGGUAUUGAAUAUUUACAUAGAGGUUGUGAAGUGCAAAUUUUACAUUUUGAUAUCAAGCCACAUAGCAUUCUUUUAGAUGAGAACUAUACUCCAAAAGUUUUAGAUUUUGGCCUCACAAAAUUGUAUUCAGUGGAUGAUGAUGUUAUUUAUCUCAUAGUAGCAAGAGAUACGAUAAGUUAUAUGGCUCCAGAAUUGUCACGACCCGGAACUCCCAUCGAGCCCAUAACAAUCGUCGCGAAGUCUCGUUAGACAUUAUUUACCCUAAAUGCUGAUCGAAACCUCGUAAGGCUUUCGUAUCAGUUUUCUUACCUCCCCUGUGAUCGACAGUAACUAAAAUCGUGUUUUGAAACGAAAUGGACCAUUUUUCCAUCCAAAAACAAUGAAAAUUUAUUUCUGCCUCACAGGGGUAUUUUAGUCAUUUUUUUUCAAAAAUACGGAAACCCUUUAAAGUAGAUAACUGAAGUAUAAAAUUACUUUUCAGUGAUACGUGGGCCCCCAACUGACCAAGAAGGUGUAGGGCUACGAACCCUUACUUUCUAGGAUGCAACUCCGAGAUUAAUUCUCGUCUUAAUCAACUAUCAACAAACUGUCUUGAGCCUGAAAAAUGGAUAGAAAGAGGGGUGAGAUUACAUAAUCCCAGUGAGUAAACAAUUACCAUCAAAAACAUCUAAAGCCGAGUAGACGGAGACAAUAUAAAAACGUUAUAUCUCAAUAAUGUUCAUAACGCAAAAUUCGUUUCAAUCUAUACCAAACAAUUUCUUUUCGUCAAAAUUUCCCGGCUUAUGAAUUUCUUAAACUUGGCCCUUGCCAGAAUCAUUCUUGCGGGUACCUUCGUCAAGGUAUCCCACUGAGACAGCCAAGGCUGUUAAAUGUCCCAUACCCAUAAACAUGUUUUCGCAUCUGACACACAGCCGUUCCUUGGCGUUGGCUGAGUCUCACUCUCAAGUGGUGGCUCGAACGUGAGGUGCACUCGAAUCUUACCUCAAGAGAUACUUCAUCCAACAUCUCUCCCCAGAGGUAGGUAUAUAGUUGGGUUACCGUGCCCCUCUCAUAGGCAGUCCACGGAAACCCCCACCACUGCAGUGACCGUUUAAUAUACCACAAGACCCAUAAAAUUUUCAGUAGCAUAAUAUGGCGAAUAAAAUUUAAUCCAGUCUAUCAAGAUUAAUCCAAAACUGUUCAUAUAUGUCAUGUCAACCCCAAAAAUUUAGCCAUCAUGUUACCAUAGUGUCAUAAGCCACAAUUUCAAUAACAUAUAAAAUCAUAAAUUCAACACAGUCUCCAUAUACUCGAUUUUUCCAAAACAAUAUUUAAUUUCAAAACCAGUAUAAAUCUCAUUUUUAUUAAAAAAACAUUUUAAUUGGAAAACAUAAUAUUUUAUAAUUUAAACUCACCAUUCAAUAAAAGCAUCAAACAAGUAUAAUUACUCUAGAGAUUUAAGAUGAUAAAUUGUCCACUCACAGUACUAGGAGUAGAAAUACUCCAAUUUUCAGUCCGCGGGUACAGUCCUUUACCCGUAUCUAAUGGCUCACCACCUAGCCAUAAUCCAUGACACAUAUUCUAAUUAAAUUGUGUCUAACAGUUAUAAGCUAUUUCAAGCUCGAUAUAUAUGCAUGAUAUGAAAAUGAAAAAUACACGAGUAGCCAUCUAGACCCGGUAUUGGCCUAAGUCGAUUUUUCAUCCGAUAAAUUGGCCAAUGCGUCCAAUUUCACUCCAACUUGCUCCAUUUUUUUCCCAAUCCCUCAAUUCACGAAACACAAACUAAUUAACACAGAAUUAGGCAAAAUUUAUCUUCACUUUUCUUCUUAGAACUUUUGGCCAACAAUGGUACACUAACUCCAUGAUUUUUUCUACUUAAUUUUCUCUCCAUGAUUCAUUAAUUCCUACACAAAAAACUAUUAUUUCUUAAUCAAAUCACUUAUAAUAACAUCUCAUUCUUCCUCAUUAUUCACUUAGAGAAUUCGGCUAUUGAUGGACACCAAACUUUUGGUGGUUUUCUUCACUUGUUUUCAUGCUACACAUCAUUAAUCACCUAAAAACACUAACAUACCUAAAAAUCAAACCAAUCCAAGAUCAUUCUCUCUCCAUACCCAUUUUGACCAGCCAUGAAUUCACCAUGAAAGCAUGCUUUUCAACCAUGAAAAUUAAGGGAAAAUGCAUAGGAAAAAUAGUUCAUAAACUAAAAUCAAGAAAUUUCACCUUUUUCCACUUGAUUUUCUUGAAAAUCCACACUUUUCUCUUGAAUUUCUUUCCACCUAGGGUUUGUUCUUCUUUUCCCCUUUGUUUUCUUGCCAAAGCUGACCCUUAUGAGAGAGAAAUGGUGGUGUGGGCUGAUUUUUAUAGUUAAAUAAUAUAAUAAUUUAAACUUGCCACAUGGCAUUCCAUGAUUGGCCCAUUUUUUUAAAUUCUUAUCUUUUAAGAUUUAAAUCUCCACCACACAUUUUUCAAGGGUCAAAAAUGAUGAUGGGUGAAGACCUUGUGCUGGAAAAAUGCUCUCGGGGUGCAAAAUUACCAUUUUGCCCCCGAAGUGACAAAAUUACCAUUUCACCCAGGUACUCCAAAUUAUACCGAAAUUAAAAUUUUUUACUUCUAAACCUCAAAUCAUACUCCAAUAAGUCAAAUGGGGUCAAAAAAUCUUUUUUAAAAAUUUUAUUUUUGUCCCCAGGUGAUAAAUUACCAUUUUACCCUUAGAUAGUGAAAAUUUUGGUUUGACUCCAAAUUGAUCCUCAAACUCCGAAUUACCAUUUUGAGUCAUCCCUGGACUGUGAAACUCUUAAUUUCACCUUAAAAUUUCUAUUUGAACUAGUUCGAGGCUUAAUCGACUUAAUGGUACCAUUAGGGGCAAUAUCGUCUUUUAACAAUUUCUCGAACUUCCUAAAUAUGCAAACAUUCUAUUGAGCAUGUAAAUAACGUCGUAAUUAUUUUAUAGAACAGGGUUUGACAAGAAUUGUUUUAUAAAAAUAUCAGAGGUAUCUCAUAUAAAGCCUAUGUUUAUAGUUUUGGAAUAAUGUUAAUGGAAAUUAUGGGAAGGAGAAAAAAUUUAAAUGCCUCUACCUAAUAUUCAAGUCAAAUUUAUUUUCCAUCAUGGAUAUAUGAUGGAUUAGAUGAAGGAGAUAUCAUGGAGCUUGGAGAUGUGACAAAAAUUGAAAACAAAAUUAUGAGGAAAAUGAUAAUGGUAGCCUUAUGGUGCAUACAGAUGAAACCCAUAGAUCGUCCUUCAAU